RNAcentral lists this long non-coding RNA (46105 nucleotides) under Citrus maxima (pomelo). RNAcentral's name for it is "long non-coding RNA (CMAX_LNC000228)". The record is from RNAcentral. Lineage: Eukaryota; Viridiplantae; Streptophyta; Magnoliopsida; Sapindales; Rutaceae.
CCAGAAGACAGCGUUUUAUUUGGUGGGGGUGAAGUUUUAGUACAGGAAUUGCUCGGUUUGAAAUAUUUAGAGGUAUUGGAGUUGACCUUGGGAAGUUAUCAUGCUCUCCAAAUUCUUUUGAGCUCAAAUAAGUUAAAAAGUUGUAUUCGAUCUCUUUACCUCGAGUUGACCGGAGAUACAGCGUCAAUUAUUGAUGCUACGGCUUUCGCAGAUCUAAACCACCUCAAUGAAUUAUAUAUUUUUAAAGGUAUUGAGUUGGAAGAAUUGAAGAUUGAUUAUACGGAGAUAGUACGAAAAAGGCGGGAACCUUUUGUUUUCCGCAGCCUUCACUGUGUUAUUAUGGUUUCGUGCCGUAAAUUGAAAGAUGUGACAUUCCUCGUUUUUGCUCCAAACCUCAAGUCUCUUUUGGUAGACGGUUGCGAUGCUAUGGAAGAAAUAAUCAGCGUCGGAAAAUUUGCUGAGACUCCUGAGAUGAUGGGACAUAUAAGCCCUUUUGAAAAUCUCCAAAUGCUUGAUUUAACGGCAUUGCCGGAGUUGAAGAGCAUCUACUGGAAGCCAUUGCCUUUCACUCAUCUGAAAGAAAUGGAGGUACUUAGGUGCGAUCGGCUUGAAAAGCUUCCACUCGAUUCCAACAGUUCAAAGGAGCGUAAAUUUGUUAUUUGUGGAUACACAAAGUGGUGGAACCGACUUCAAUGGGAGGAUGAAGCCACUCAAAUUGCUUUUCGUUCCUGUUUCCAACCAAUGGGAGUACUGAGCGGUGGUCGCAAAAUUUGAUUUCUGGUGAGUGCGUUUUUGUUAACGCUUAUGUUUUUAUUCCAGUGUGUUUUUCUUCUGUCUUCUGCAAAUCAAUGCUUUAUAAAUUUUCCUUUUCCCUUUUUUUUUGGGGGGGGGGGGGGGGGCGUGGGUCGAAUUGAUGCUCUGGUUUUUUACUUUUUGUUGUCAAAUUUGGCCUUUUUUUUUUUUUUUUUUUUUUACAAGUUGAUACUUUAUUUAUAUCUUCUUAGCGAUUUAAUUUCCUGUCAAAAGACGAGCGAGAAGAACAUAUGACUUAAAGCAAUUGAUACUUUAUUUAUGUGCAUUGUAUGUAAUAAAUAUUAAGUAUACUUUAUUUUGCCCUGUUCUCUGUUUUUAUUUCAGUCUCUCUCUCGCUCUCUCUCUUUCCUGUCUUCUGCAAGUCAUAAUUAAAUGUUGAAUUAUAUGGAAUUAAUGCUUUAUAAAUCUGCCUGCGCUGGCUUUUUUUUUUUUUUUUGUGGGGUCGAAUUGAUGCUCUGGUUUUCGACUACUUUUUGUUGUCAAAAUUUUCUCUGUUUUUUCAAAUUUAUAUCUUAUUCGUGAAAAGUGAUUUAAUUUCCUGCCAAAAGACGAACGAGAAGAACAUUAGAGUCAAACUAAUGCUCACAUAAAUUUCCCGUAAGAAUAUAUAAUUAGACUGGAAUGCACACCUCUAGAUUGAACAGAAUUAAAGCUGAGAAAAUAUUGAGUAUAGUAGCCCUCUUUACAGAAAAUGACGCGAAAGUUAAUUUAGAAAGAUAUAUUCUCGAUUAAUCCAUUUUCUGAAUUUUUUUUUUAUUUUGUAUGGUCAAUUUUUUUUUUAAAUUACAACCUCAUAGUCAUGCUAUUCAUUCACUCACAGACCAAAGGCUUUCCGCAGCAAUAUUAUUAUUUAAAUUACAACAAAGGGGGAAUCAAAUACGUCAUACAGAAGCUUAAAGCUGAAUCUACAAGAUCUAGAGCUCUCAAGAUGAAGCUUGUUCAAUAUCUCAUCCAAAGCUUGUAAAGUAACCUUGUAACGAUCUUGAGAUUGCCUGCCUUCCUCGACGACCUGCACGAUGCGUUUGUACAAAUCAUCAUACUUGUGCACUGGAUUUUUAAUAUCAACGCCACUGCAGCUGUGAUCAAGAACAUGAGAGCGUUUAACAUCUUUUCUCCAUCAAGAAAGAACGUAGUGAGAUGGGAUCUCCUGCAUGCCACUCUGGUUUAGAACACAAAGAAUGUGUCUGCAUAAAUAUCCUCUGAAAUUGAACAACCCACAAACACAAAGCAUCUCCAAGUCAGAGGCAUUGUACAAAACAUCGAAAGCCCUUGAAUCUUUCUCGUUGCUACCAACCUCAAAUUCUUCCUUCACUAUGUAUGUUAUAGGUCCAUCAGCACUGACAUGUUUUGUGCUAUAGCAAAGAGUACAUAGCCUCCACCUCCAUCUGAAACUUCCUUAACAUUUCAUUUGUGUACAGUUUUGAGAGUUGAAAUUCAUAGUAACAUAUUGGUUUCUGGAUACAACUUGAAUUUCUUGAAUCCAUAUCUGCCAAGGCUUGCAGUUGAUAAUUGGCCCGCAGUGCUUGAUCAUACUUGUCUAAGAAUUCUUUCAAAGGAGUAUUCUUAUCAAGAUAUCCUUCAAAGUAUGAAGUAGAAACCUCAUUCUGCAGUAACGAAAACACUCCUGAUAAAAAAGCUUCCUUCAAAUAAAUAGGAGCCCACCUUUUACGAUCUUCAUAUAAAGUUUGAAUCCAUCCGUGAUCCUUUAUUCCAUGACGUUGAAUCAUGUCUUCCCAAGCUGCUUCAAAUUUCUCAGGCCUGAGAGAGUGAUAAAUUGCUCUAUGUAAUGCAGCUUUAAUAGCUUCAUAUUCAAACAAUCCUUGGAGUUUCUCUGGAAUUUUUUGCAUGACGCUUUCCUUCAAUGAUAAGACAAUGAACAUAAACGAGACACAAAAAAAAUUAUUUUAAACUGACAGCCCAUGAUAUAAAUCAAACAAAAUCAACUCCUUUUUUUACACAUCACAUCUCAUAUUCAUUUGCAUUGAAGCACAAAAAGGAAGCAGGAGUGGGAAAAAAAAAACAACAGCAGAGGAACUUAUUUCCAUAAGGUUUAGGAAAUAAGGAAUUUAUUAAGACACAAAAUUUGAGGUUACCAAUAAGAAUUUGGUUCUCAUUAUUUUUUUCUUCAUUUUUCACCAAUUGAUGAACUUAAAAUACAAUCAUCAAUGAUAAAACCCCAUCUCCAUCUUUUUGAACUAGAGCUAAAGCAAAGCAUUUUAAGAUGUUUCAUCAUUUUUUUUAAUAAAAAAAAACCUCAAUAGUACAAUGUUUUUCAAUGUUAAAUGCACAACUCAAUCCUCUCCUAAUUUACUCUAAUAAUCUCUUAAUUAAGGAAGAUUAAGCUUCAGUUGUAAGCUAAAACAAAUUUCUUAAAUCAAGCCCCAAUGCUUUAUGCUAUUCAACAAGGGCUCAUAAAUGAUAAAACUACUUCUACAAAGAUACCCAUUUUCUAAAUUAAUUUCAAAAACUGAAAUCAAACUCCUGAAACGUAACGAGCAUUAAUAUAAUCAAACCCGAACAGGAAUUGAAAAAUGACACAUAAACUCGUUUACACAUUUCGACAGACACUUUGCAAUCAAUGAGCAAAAAAUUAAUGGAGAAGAUAAAAUUCAAACGAAACAUGCCUUACAUUGAUAAAUUAGAAGGGCAAAAGAAAUUUUAGUACGAUAUGGGAUCAGGGUCUUGCCACGGUGAUGUUAUUUGUGAUGUUCGAGCGACUCAGCAGCCUUCGAGGUUGAAAAUUUGAUUGACCGAAAGCUUCCCGUUCGUUGAUUCUCUAAUAGCAGAAACGAGACUGGCAGUAUACACAAGAAGUUCGCUGAUUUUAAAUUCCGUUGUUUGAGAUGGAAAUUUUUUUGAAAAAAUUAAUGUGUUCGAUGAAUAUCAAAAUCUCAAAAACUUUUUGUUUCUCAUAGCACCCAUGCAUGAUGUGUUGUUUCUCUAAAAGUUUGAGACACAAAUGUUAUUUCAAAUUGAAACGCCAUGCACUAGUAGUAGACUAGUAGGUAGGAGAAACCAAGGUUGAAGUUACUGUUCAUUUAUUUUUAUUUAUGAUUUUUUGUAAAAUGUAAGAAAUAUGUAGAAAUGUUGCCAGCAAUGAUUUUGGAACUUUGCAUAAAAUUUUUAUCAUUAUUGUUUUUGGUAUUAAGAAAUCCGAGGCGGUGAUUAGACGUAUGUUGCAACAAUUAAGAAAUUUCUUAUUGGAGAUAAUUUGGUAGGUUGCAACAAUUAGAGAAUCAUUUUCCUGUCAGUUAAUCAAUCAAUAAUAAAUUUCAAAUUGCAGAAAAUAAAAUAAUACUGUCACACUUAGAAUCAUCUUUUCUAUCUCUUUCAAUUGUGGCAAUCAUUUGUAACAAAUAAAUCAAUUUGAUGCACAUCAUUUCCCCAAUUCAAAGUUCAAGUCACUGCUCAAUUGCAGAGUAGUUAGUAGACAUGCAUGCAUGUUUAAUUAAGUACUGCAUUGUAGUAUCGAAAAUCAUAAUAUCUCACCAAGCCCGGAAGCAUAGCUCUUUAUCUUGUAAACGUUGAAAUCUUAUGCAAACUAUGGGAAACAUGAUCUCACUCUCAGUGUCACUUGAUUCCAUUUUCUGUUCUUGCCUUGAUUUCGAUGUUGGGAAUGUGACGUCUGAGUCCAAGGUUGAAGAUAAUCUCGAUGCCUUGCGGACUGCAAUGGAAAAAUAAGCGGAAACGAGAAAUGAUGUGAUAAGAAGAGUUACUGUUGCUGAAGGACAACAUCAAAUGCAACGAAUGGAUCGAGUGCAGGGCUGGCUUUCAAGGGUAAAAGCUGUGGAAAAUAAAGCUGAUGAUUUGAUGAGACACAGCUCUCAAGAGAUUGAGAAGUUAUGCCUUGGAGGCUUCUGUUCCAAGAACUGCAAAUGAAGCCACAGCCGUGGGAUAGAAGCUGCUACAAUGCUACGAGUUGUGGAGACUUUAAUGGGUGAAGGAUCAUUUGAAUUGGUGGCUGAGAGGGUGCCAGAAGAUGCAGCAGACUGAGCAGAGGAGAUAAAUUGUGAGUCAACAAUAAUGGGCAUGGUGUCGACUUUUGAGAAAGCCUGGAGAUGCCUUGAAGAAGAAUCAGUUGGAAUUAUUGGCCUAUAUGUCAAUGGGAGAGUUGGAAAUAUUUACUCAAAUCAACAACAAGUUCCUUGAUAGUCCAAAUAAUUUUGAUGUUGCAAUCUGGGUAGUGGUCUGCCAAGAUUUGCAACCCCAGAAGUUUCGGGAAAAGAUUGGGAAAAAGAAAGGCUUGUUCGAUGAGUCAUGGAAGAACUGAAGUUUUGAAGAGAAAGCACUCGAUAUAUUCAAGAAUUUAAGCAAGAUGAAGUUUGUAUUACUGCUGGAUGAUAUAUGGGAGCAGGUUGAUUUAAUUAAAAUUGGUGUCCCUCUUCCAAGCACAAAAAUUACAUUCAAGAUAGUCUUCACAACUCCUUCUAUUACAUUUGUGGCCUCAUGGAAGCUCACAACAAGAUUAAAGUGAAGUGUUUAAAUGACGAAGAAGCAUGGGAAUUAUUCUGCAAGAAGGUUGGAGAAGAUGUGGCGACUCUGUACAAGUGCUAAGGAGCUCAGCCUCAGAAUUUCUAGGUAUGUAAAAACAAGUAUAUCCUCUUUUGAAAUUCAGUUAUGAUAAUUUACCUAGCGAUAAAAUUAGAUCGAGUCUGUUAUACUGUAGUUUGUUCCCAGAAGACUUUCCAAUUAGCAAAAUGGAAUUGAUACUGAGAUACGAAAUCAAGGAUACUACAUUAUUGGUGUUCUUGUUCCUUUAUGUUUAUUGGAAGAAGAGGCUCCACUGUUUGUAAAAGUGCAUGAGGUGAUACGCGAUAUGCUUCUGUGGAUAGCAUGUGAAAUUUUAUUUUUAUUUUUUUAUAGGGAUAUCAUGUGAAGUUGAGAAGGAGAGAGAGAAUUUUUUGGUUCGUGCAGGUGCAAGGAUUAACUGAAGUACUAGACAUUUGGAAAUGGGAAGGGUUGAGAAGGGUGUCUUUGAUGAUCAACAAAACUGAGAAGGUAUCAGAAAUUCCUUCAUCUCACGAUCCACUAACUUUGUUGCUUCAACAUAAUUAUUUAGAGGUGAUCAAUAAUGACUUCUUCCAAUCUAUGCAUUCCCUUAGAGUUUUGAACUUAUCAUGUAAUCAUUCUCUAACUGAUCAUUUCAAAGUUAGUUUCCCUACAUACGAGAGUUGCCGAAUGAGUUAACGUUCGUAGUGAAUCUUAAGUUUUUGAAUGUGGAGUCUGCACGGUUUCUUCAUUCAAUUCCAGGGCAAGUGAUAUCCAGUUUUACGAUGUUACAAGUUUUGAAGAUGUUUGGUUGUGGCAGGUCAUCUUCUGAUCGUGAGCCACACCAGAAGAUAGCGUUUUAUUUGGAGGCAGUGAACUUUUGAUUGCGGAGUUGUUUGGUUUGAGAGACAUUUAGAUGUGUUGACCAUCAUCCUAAGAAGCUCCCAUGCUCUGAAAAGAUUUUUGAGCUCCAACAAACUUCAAAGUUGUACUCAAUCUCUCUAUCCUAAAUGCUUUGAUUCGAAGUCAGUUGAUGUUUUUUGCCUGGCUGAUCUGAAGCAUCUCAAUAGGCUAUAGAUAUUGCGAGUUGUAAGCUUUUGGAAGAAGUGAAGAUUGACUUUGUUGGGAAAGCACAAAUGAACUCAUGGUUUUCACAGCCUUAUGUCACGGAAGUUGUGUAAACACUGCACGGGUUGCUGCGCAAAGUAACCAUCCUAUGACAUUGAGCCAUGUUGAAAUAUCAUUUUGCUGUAAACUGAGGGAUUUGACAUAGCUUGCUUUUGCUCCAGACCUUCUUGUUGUUUCCAGAAAGCAUUGCCAUGAUAUAGAGGAAAUACUCGGUGUUGGAAAAUUAGGUAAAGAGAUGAUGUCAAACCUGGAACCCCCUAUAAAACUCCUAAGGUUAUGUCUGGCAUGUAGGAUUGGAUUGAACUAAAUUAUUAGGACUGGAUUAAAUUGGGUUAUAUUUAUAUUCUUAUGUUUGGUACAGUACUGGAUUGAACUAUAUUAGAUUAUAUUUAAAUAAUAUUAAAUAGUAUUUAAGUUGGUAUUUUAAUAUAAAUAUCAAUUAUCCAUGAAAUUUUAUAAUCAUAAUUAAAAUAAAUUUAAAAAGCAAUUACUAGAAAAAUUAAAUAUAUUACAAAAAGUUAUUGGGUAGUCAUAAUAUAAUAAGCAAAUAAAAUUAAAUAAAACAAAUUAAAUAUUUAAUUAAUUUUUAUCAAAUAUUUAAAAAUAUUAUAUAAAAUCAAUUAAUUAAUGGUUUUAUUAAUUUUCAUGAUUAUUUUUAAUAUUACAUUAGUAAUUAUUAAAUUUAAUACAAUCAAAUAAUGCAAUAAAUAAUUAAACGUUUAAUUUUAUCGAUUAAUUAUUAAAUAUACAAGUAAUGAAAAUUUAAUCUCAGGAGUUGGCAGAAGCAAAAGUACUAAUUUAAUUAGAUCAUAGAUAAUAAAUAAAAAUUAAUUUUAAGUAAAUCAUAAUAAAAAAAUUAAUUAAUUGAUUCAAUCAAUCAAUAUUAGGUGUAAAUAAAAAAAGAGUAAUGAUAUAGCCACAAAUUCUUGUACAAACUUAUUUUGUACAAACUCAUGUGUCAUGAUAAGAUUAGUUGAAUUAAAUAUCACUUGGCCCACAUGAUUUGUUUUUAUUAUUUUAUAUUUUUAUUCAACCAAUGAAUUAACGCCACGUCAGUUUGUACAAGAGUUUGUGGUUGUAUCAUCACUCAUAAAAAAAAAGAUACAAAUAAAAAUCUCAUAAAUGGACAACUUUUAUCUUUAAUCUUAUCCCAACUAAACACAUGUGUGAAUUAAGAUUAUUAAUCCCAUGAUUUUAGGAUUAAAUUCAAAUUAAUUCCCCCUUAAUCCAAUCCAACUAAACUUGUCAAACAUGGGAUAAAAGUUUAAUUCUAAAAUUAGUCCAAUUCCAUACUUAAUCCUAGCAUCCACAUAUAGCCCAAGUUGUUUGCUUAAAGAAGCUACCAAAUUUGAAGAGCGUUUACGGGAAGGCCUUGCGUUUCCCAGAUGUAUGCAGAAUUUUUGUAUCCAAAUGCCCAGAACUUAAGAAGCUGACGCUGGAUUUUGAAAGGGCGGGCCAAGGUAAAAUUCUUAUCAAGUGAAAGGAAAAUCGGUGGAAACAACUUCAAUGGAAGGAUCAAGCAACUCAGGAUGCAUUGCUUCUGUUUUUCAAAUCAACUGACAAGUGAUUGAAGGGGGCAUCAUCAGCCUGGAUGGGGAGAUCCUGGAGCAGAUCAGCAGGGUUUGAAUCUGCAUCAUCAACAUCAUCAGGAUCUCUAUUUCUAUUGCUGGUCGUAAUGCCUGCCUACUGUUACUUGAAAAAGUGAUUAAGUGAGCCAGUUUUUUGUUUAUUAAAUUUUGUCUUGUAGAGACAGUCACAAAGUAUUUUUCUUAGUUGUUCUAUAUGAGAGUGAUGUGAAUCAAUUUUUCAAUUAUAUAUUCUGUGGGAAAUUGCAAGUAUUUUUAAAAUAUGAUCGUUAUUAAAGGAAACAAAGGAAUCAACACAGCAUACUGAACCUCAGCAGUAUGAAGCUAAUGAUUAAACUCCUCACACAAUUCAUAACAUGCAAAACCAUUCACAAAAUCAUCCCCAGCAACCAUAAUUGGCGUCCAAUAGAAAUUUACAAGAAUUACUUUUCUGUUCAUGCAAUCGGCGUCCGAAUGCGGCUGAUCGGUCACCGGUGUUGGCGUUUACUGUGAUUAGACAAAUUGUAGGAAUUCAAAAAUAACUUCUAUAGGGGUAAUUUCGAUUUCACAUAAUUAAUUUUAUUUACAAUAUUUUAUUCCUGCUAGAUCAAUUGAGAUUCUUUCCACCGGGCACACCCUUCAUGUUCUUUUAUUUUCUGUCUUUUAUUAGCCGUAGGAUUUUACUACUCUUAUAUCCAACGGCUUGCCACAACAAGACAAAUGAGGUGGUACCUUCCAACCGCUGAAAGGUCGUUUUGGCCCCAGGUGAAAGAGGGAAAUAGGGAAUUGAUGCUAUAUUUUAUAUUUUCUAUUUUACUACUCUUGUAUCCACCGGCCUUUCUUAUAUUUUAUUGCAAAUUGAUGCUAACAAGAAAAAGCUACAUCAUAUUCCACAAAAAACAAAAGUGACAAAACAACCAGUUGGAUUCUUUUAUUAAACUACAAAUUAAAUGGACUUUUUUUUAAUAAACUAUAUAUGAAAGUAGAAUCUUUUGAAUAUAAGUGGGGUAGACUUCCUUUCCAAAACAAAAAAUGCGGGGUAGGCUCUUUUAUUAAAGACAAGUCACAAGACGAUUAGAGUCUUUUAUUAAACUGCAAAUUGUAUAGUCUUUUUCAAAUUGUACAGACAUUUAUAAAUUGGUGGCCCCUUGGAAAUUUAAUGCCAAGCAGAGAAAAGUCAUCAUGCACAAUCCUCAAUAAUUGUUUCGAUAUUUAUAAAUUGGUGGCCCCAACGAAUAAUUGGGAUCGGUUAUGGUGCAAUUAUAGAACCAUGGCACAGUUGCAUCCAGCCGUUAAAUGCACUUAGAUUGGUGAGGUUUAUUGGCAUCUAAUGGCUGAAUGUAACUAUAAUACGGUACUACAGUUACAACACAAGUUUCCACCAAUAAUUGUUCCGAUAAUUAUAAAUUGGUGGCCCCUUGAUAAUUUAACAGCAGCCUGCAAGUGCCAACCAGUGAAAAGUCAUCAUUCACAAUCUUCCAAGUGAAAUAGGAGAUAUACAAAAUAAUAAAAAAAAAACAUGUCAAUUCUUUUUUUUUUUAUUCAUUCCCUUUCAUGUUCUUGAUAAGGGAGGGAGGACGUGACAUGUAAUGUAACUUACACCCAAAUACAUAAAUAAUAUAAAAUGAAUGGAUAGAUGCCCGAGCAGAUCGGCAGGGUUCGAAUAUGACCUUUGGUGCUUGCUUUUUUUUUUUGUGAUUUUGUUUUUCAUUUUUUCCUUCCUGUCAUUUUAUCAUUUCUUUGGCUUUGUCUCUAUUGCGGGUGUUACUGCAUGCUUACUGUUGCUUGACAAAGUUUGCUAGCUGAAAGAAACUUAGUUCUAUAUUGUUUGGUAGGCUAGAAAAUGAAAGGAAAUAAAAGAAAAGCUUUGCAAAGAAAUCUGUUGGAUCUUUUAUUAUUCCAAACUUACAGUUUAAUGACUACUAAUUGAUAUUUAUAUUGAGCUACAAUCUCUUAACAUACACACGAGAUUGUUGCAACACAUAACCAUUUGCUGUAUAACUAACUUGACACAUCAGCUCAACCAGCUAACUAACUUUGACAGGUCAGCUUAAUGAUUUGAUCUGCUACAACCAGCUACACAACACAUCAUGCUCUGCUCCAGCUACACAGCAACAUCAUGCUCUGCUCCAGCUUCAUCUAAUUCACUAACAUCCCCCUUCAAGCUGAAAUGUUUAGGAUGAACAUUCAGCUUGCUGCGGAAGUAACUAAAUUGUUUGAAAGUAAGAGCUUUAGUCAACACAUCUGCAGUUUGAUCUUGACUAGGCACAUAACAGACUGCAACUUCUUUAGCAGUAACUUUAUCUCGGAUGAAAUGGAUAUCCAAUUCAACAUGCUUAGUUUUAGCAUGAUAGACUGGAUUAUAAGCUAAAGCAAUGGCUCCUUGAUUAUCACACCACAUCAUAGGAGUAGAGCUCAAUUUGAUGCUAAGUUCACCAAGUAAAGACUUGAUCCAGGUAACCUCUGAAGCAGCAUGAGCAAGAGAUCUAUACUCAGCCUCUGUGCUGAAUCUGGAAACAACAGCUUGCUUCUUGGACGACCAAGAGACAAGAUUAGGACCUAGAUAAACAGCAAAGCCAGCUACUGACUUCCUAUCAUCAUGAUCACAAGCCCAAUCAGAGUCUGAAAAACAAUGGAGUUGCAGAGCUCCUUGGUUGUAGAAUUGCAGCCUAAGAUGGAUAGUACCUUUUAAGUACCUCAAUAACCUUUUACAUGCUUCCCAAUGUUGAGUCCUAGGAUUGGAAAGGAACUGACUCAACUUAUUGACAUAAAAAGCAAUGUCAGGUCUGGUAAGAGUAACAUACUGAAGAGCUCCUAUAACACUUCUGUAUUGAGAAACAUUGUCAAUUGGCUCCCAUGAGUCUUUGGUGAGAUAAUAACCUGUAGACAUUGGAGUUGGCACAGGACUGCAAUCAAUCAUGCCAUGUUUGUCCAGAACAUCAGCAAUAUACUUUGCUUGUGUCAAGGAAACCCCUUUUGAAGACUUGCUGACUUCAAUCCCCAAAAAAUAGUGAAGUUCCCCUAAAUCCUUUAAAGCAAAAGUCUGAUGCAUAUUCUGAAUAGCUUGCUGAAUCAAUGAUGGACUGGAACCAGUGAUGAUAAUAUCAUCAACAUAGACUAAAACAAUAGUUAUAUGACCACUGUUCCAGGCAUAAAAAAGAGAGUUAUCAGACCUUGAAUGCUGAAAAUGCCACUGGGAGAUCAUUGCAUCCUUAAAUCUAUCAAACCAGGCUCUAGGAGCCUGUUUUAAACCAUACAAAGCCUUAUUCAGCUUGCAAACAUGAUUAAGUUUAGUUGAAUCAACAAAACCUUGAGGUUGAGCCAUGUACACAUCUUCAAUUAAAAUGCCAUUGAGGAAUGCAUUAUUAACAUCCACCUGCCUAAUAACCCAGUGGUUCAAUAUUGCUAAGCUAAGAAUAACUCUGAUAGUUGAAGAUUUAACCACUGGACUGAAGGUUUCUGUGUAGUCAACCCCAUGUGUCUAAUGAAACCCCUUAGCAACAAGCCUGGCUUUAUACCUUGAAACCGAGCCAUCUGAGUUAUACUUAAUUCGAAACACCCACUUGUUACCAACUAUCUUCACUGGAGUAGCAGGUAAAACCAAAUCCCAGGUGUGAUUAGUUUUAAGUGCUAGAUACUCUUCUUGCAUAGCUUUAUACCACAUAGGAUCAGAGAGUGCUUUGGAAACAGAAGUUGGUUCUGAUUGCUGGGCUAACAAGGCUGACAAAUAAACUUUUGGCUUAAAAAUACCUGCUUUUGAUCUGGUUACCAUUGGAUGACCAGAUGGUGCAUGUUGUGGUAAUGUAUGUGGAGGUGAGGAAUGGGAAGAUGAGAAAGGAGAAACUGAGUUGGAAUUAUCAGAAAAAUAAACUGGAGUAGAGUUUGGGAAUGAAAUAGAAGCAUUAGACUGAUGAUCAGUAGGUUGAGGUGCUGAUGAUGCUGCUAAAGGUGCUUGUAACUGAGUAACAGAAGAAGUAGAAGACUUAAAAGAAGACUCAGAGUGUGAUGUAGACUGACAGCUUAAAGAGGUUGAAGAAAACUCUACCCCAGACUCAUAAGGAAAGGAAUUUUCAUCAAAGGUGACAUAAUUGGAAAUAUACACCCUUCCAGAAGAGUGAAGACACAUAUAUCCCUUGUGUUGUGAACUGUAGCCAAUGAAUAUACAUCUAGCAGUUCUGAAAUCAAACUUAUAUCUAUUGUAUGGUCUGAGUGUUGGAUAACAAGCACAGCCGAAAGUUUUAAGUGUUGAAUAAUCUGGUUGAUAAUGAAACAACUUUUGGAAAGGAGAAAUGUUAUUUAGAACUGGAGUUGGAAGUCUGUUUAUCAAAUAGACAGCUGUGUGGAAUGCAUUCCACCAAAAUUUGAGUGGUAAAUGUGCUUGAGCUAAUAAAGUCAGACCUACAUCAACUAUGUGUCUAUGCUUCCUCUCAAUUCUUCCAUUUUGGUGAUGAAUAUGUGGGCAAGGGUGUCUAAAAUGGAUACCAGAAGUAGUGAGUAAUGAGGAAAAAGAUCUGAACUCCCCUCCCCAGUCAGUUUGGACAGUUUUGAUGGAAAGUUGAAGAUGCUUUUCAAUGAAUGUUUUGAAAUUUUUAAAAACUUCAAGAGCAUCAGAUUUUGCUGAUAAAGGGAAUAUCCAGGUAAACCUACUAUAAUCAUCUAGGAUUCACAGGUAGUAGUUAUAUCCUUGGGUAGAACAAACAUGAGAAGGACCCCACAGAUCUGCAUAUAUUAGUUGUAAAGGUUCUGAAGUUUUUGUUUCAACUGAAUCAAAAUGCAGCAUAUGAUUUUUCCCAUAUUGACAUGCAUAACAAAAUUUCAAACUUUCAACUUUAUUAAGAGCAGUAAAGUUGUUACAAGCUUUGAGUAUGGUUUUGAGAGUAUAAGGAGCUGGGUGUCCUAAUCUUCUAUGUAGAAGAUUUACAUAAGUUAAACCCUUUGCAACAACUGACAGACAUGACUUUUUAUUCAGCUCAUAAGAACUAACAGCAGAAGGCUUAUCAGAAGUAAAAACAGGAGAACAAGCAAAAAGAGACUGAAUUUUUUUUUUACCAACUGAACUGAGAAAAACUGAGUGAGCAGCAGCUUGUGAAGAGACUCUAUACAAGCCACCUUUAGCAACACCUUCAUGUAAAAUUUUCCCUGUGUUCCUGGCCUUUAUAAAACAGAAAUCACCAAGAAAUUCAACAGUAACUGGAUUGUCAGCCAAUAAUUUGGAAAUGCUAAGUAAAUUCUUAGUAAUAAAGGGAAUAUGAAGAACAUGGUUAAGAAAUAAAGAUUGAGAAUUUGAAGUGUUCAGCACAACUGAUCCUAUAUGUGUAACAGCUAAUGCAUUUCCAUCCCCAACAAAUAACUUCUCAGUACCAGUAUAAGCUUGUGAAUCUAGAAGUUUACCUAGAUCAUUAGUAAUGUGAUUUGUGGCUCCACUGUCAAUGUACCAGGAAAGAUCUUCAAUGUGUUCUGGAAGUGAAGAAGACAUAGUUGAGGAAGAUGAAGCACUUGACUGUCCAGGAUUAUUGUUUCCUUGACCAGCAACAAAAUUAGAUGAUCCAGGAGUGAAAGAGUAAUAGGCAGAAGGAUUGUUAUCUGGAUACACUAUAUUUCCUUGAUAACCAAAACCCCUGGGUGCAUGACCAAAACUAGCAUUUUGUCCAAAACCAGCAUUUGAACCAAAACUUCUUCCACUAUUACCAUUAUAGACUCUUCCUCUACCAUAUUGCCCUUGAUUAAAACCUCUGUCACCAUUCAUAUUGCCUCUACCAUGAUUCCUCUGUGGAACAUAAGAUGAGUUGUACCUAUUCCUGCAUCUAUUUGCUGCAUGACCAGGUAUGAAGCAAAUUUGACAAACAACUUCAGAGGAAUUACUACCAGUAUUAAACUGACCAUAUCCAUAUCCAUUAAAACCUCCAUAUCCAGAAUUAUUACCACCUCCAUAGUUAUUUCCAUAAUUUUUCUGAAAAUUUCCAUUAUUCUUUCUAGCAUAUGAGUUCUUCUGAGCAAUAUUUGCUGUCAUGUUAUGCAUCACAUCACCAGCAAUUUUCCCUUUCUUUUGCUCAACUCUAUUUUCAUGAUUCAACAACAAAGAAUAUAGUUCAUCUAAUGUGAUCUUUUCACCUCGAGCUAACACAGCUGUGACUAAAGACUCAUAGUCUGAUGAAUCAAGACCAGUUAAUAUAUGCAUCACAAGAUCAUUUAACUCAAUAGGUUUUCCAGCUAGAGCUAAAGUAUCAGCUAUGCGUUUUACUUUUACAAAAUAAUCAGACAUAUGCAUUGCACCUUUCUUAAUAGUUUGAAUCUGCAUUCUAAGUGUUUGAAUUCUAGCUUGUGAUUGAGAGAUAAACAUACUAGCAAGAGUCUCCCAAAGCUGUUUUGAAGUUGUAGAAUCAAUCACAGUAGCAAGCAGAUUUUGCUGUAUCGAUGACAUCAUCCAACUCAGUAAGAGUUGGUCAGUCUUCAUCCAAGCUACGAAUUCUGGAUUAAUAGAUCUGGAUCCAGAUUCAGUUAAAACUUCAGCUCCAUUGUUGUUUCCAGAAGAAAGAAACUGCUCAGGACAUUCUCGAUCGCCAUUGAUAAAUCCUUCCAAACCGUUUCCUUUGAUUGAAGUUAAAAUUUGUGUGCGCAACAGAAUGAAGUUGUUUUGAUCUAGCUUUACUGGCGUAACAAAACUGAAAGAGUUGUUGUUUUGAACUAUAUUUGCCAUUUAUGGCUCUGAUACCAUGAAAGAAACUUAGUUCUAUAUUGUUUGGUAGGCUAGAAAAUGAAAGGAAAUAAAAGAAAAGCUUUGCAAAGAAAUCUGUUAGAUCUUUUAUUAUUCCAAACUUACAGUUUAAUGACUACUAAUUGAUAUUUAUAUUGAGCUACAAUCUCUUAACAUACACACGAGAUUGUUGUAACACAACCAUUGCUGUAUAACUAACUUGACACAUCAGCUCAACCAGCUAACUAACUUUGACAGGCCAGCUUAAUGAUUUGAUCUGCUACAACCAGCUACACAGCACAUCAUGCUCUGCUCCAGCUACACAGCAACAACAUGCUCUGCUCCAGCUUCAUCUAAUUCACUAACACUAGCUUUUCCUUUUGUUUAUUAAAUUUUUUUAUGGUCACAAAGUAUUACUCGUUCUAUUUGACAAUGAUGUGAAUCAAUUUUUCAAUUUUAUAUUUUGUGGUCAACGUGAAUUCAAUUUCAUUUGUCUCCUGCAAUUAUGAAAAAAUUACAGUCAUAAUAUGGGGAAACCUGUGGUGCAACUGUGGUACCAUGUCACAGUUGCAUCCAGCCGUUGGAUGCCAAUAGAUCCCACCAAUUUAAGUGCAUCCAACAGCUGGAUAUAACUAUAGCACGGUACCACAAUUACACCGUAACUUGAUCCCAUAAUAUGGAAAAGUACACCGGCAGAAACUUUGUAAAAGCUUCGGAGUGAUACGGGGAAUUCACUUACUACUAAAGACAGUUGGUGGCAACCUAAUGUCCAUCCAUCUAUUUAGUUAUUGAAGAUUAGUGGUCCAUUUGUAAAUUUCAGAUUGUCUCUCUCUCUCUCCCUCUUGAAAUAACAAUAUUUAAUAUAUCUAUUAAAUUAUUAUAAAUUUUAAUUUACUCUCGAUUUAAAAUGGAGCAUGUCGAUAAAUUUUUUUUCUUCUUAAUAAAAUUGACGUAAGUUGUGUUUACAGUAGUUUGAAGUUUGAAAUAUUUUAAAGAUUAUUAUUCUAUAAGGGAGUAAUAUGAACUGAAAUUUACUUUUCAUGUGUGAAAUGAAAAACGACGAAGCAAGUGUCCCUGCUUUUAUUUUAUUUCAAGGAGGAGUCAUCUCACAUACUUUAGCUCUUAACAUUACAUUUUUUCUGGUUACAUUUUUAUUUUUUAUUUUUUUUAACACAUGCGUGUGGGAUGCUUUUCUGUAAGCUCCUUAAUAUAUAUUUAAGACAAAUCAUGGAAGAGAUGGGAUUAUAUCAAGAUGAUCAAAGCAUGUAAAAAAAGAAAAAAGAAAAAAAAAUUAAGAAGUAAGACACUGAAAAUGGAGAAGAGAUGGAAGCAAAAGAUAUUCCAAACAAAGCAAUCUAUCCCCUUUCGAGGGCAGACUUAUCAGGUUUAAAAAAGUACAUGCUUUGGAUUGGUAGUUACAAUCAAGGGAAAAUAAAUAGGAUCCAAUGAAAUUUAAAUCUUGGAGAAAAUAAAUAAUCAUGCAGAUUUUCAAGAUUUUAAUAAGGGAUACUAAUAUCUUAUUUUGAUUAAUAACAUUCUUUCACUGUGUUAACUCAAAAAAAAUAUUAUAAUGCUUUACAAUAAAUACAAAUGUCCUAUUAAAUGAAUAUAUAAAAAAUUUAGAAUAUUAUAUAAAAUAAUUUUAAUAUAAUGCGUGAGAUAUAUUUUAUUAAUUUAAAAUGUCAUUUUACCUAAAAAAUAUGAUAAAUUGAUAAUUACAUAUUUGAAGUUAUUUCAAAUAUUAAAAAAAUUUAAUAUUAUUAGUCUUUUAGAUAGAUUAAAUUAUUUUUUAAAGAGAUAGAUUAAAUUAUUUUAAAAUACCUUAAUUGUUUUUACUUUAAACAUUACCGGCCUUUCUUUUAUUUUAUUGCAAAUUAAUGCUAACAAGAAAAAGCUAGAUCAUAUUCCACAAAAGCAAAAGUGACAAACACAGCCAGCUGGAAUCUUUUAUAAAACUACAAAUUAAAAUGGAUUUUUUUUUUUGAUAAAUUACACAUGAAAGUGGAUUCUUUUGAAUAUAAGUGGGGUAGGCUCUUUUAUUUUAUUUUUGAAUAUUGUAUAACGGGACUGUAGACUCUUUUAUUAAACUACAAAUUGUAUAGUCUUUUUAAAAUUGUUAUAAAUUAGUGGCCCCUAAAAUCCUCAACAAUUGUACCGAUAUUCACAAGUUGGUGGCCCCUACAAUUCUGUUCAGUUAAUUUAACUGUGCAAGUGCUCAUUCACAAUCUUCCAGGUCAUGCUCUUAAUAAUUUUUUUUUUUUUUUCUGCAUUCCCUUUCAUGCUCUUAAUAAUUGAAGAGCAUACUUUUCAUUUUCAAAUGUGGAGCCGCAGCUAAUGUCGUUAAUUUAAUUUGGGAUUAAAUUAGGGGACCAUUAUAUUGCAGUGUGCACUAAUUUUUGUGUUUAUCUAAACUCCUUAAAUUUAAGACAUAUUAUGGCAUAAAUAAGAAUAUAACAAUAACAAAAGAGUUAGAAAGUGUAGAGAAGAUCUUGCAGAAAUAUAAAUAAUAUCUAUUUUAAAAUAAUUUUUAAUAUUUUAUGAUCCAUUAGAUAUAUUUUAUUAUAUUAAAGUAAAUUUUAUAAUAAAUGAAAACAUACUAUUAAAAUGAAUAUAUAGAAAAUUUAGAGUAUUUUAAAUAUUAUAUAAAAUAAUUUUAAUAAAAUAUGUGAGAUAUUCAUAUUUUAUUAAUUUAAAAUACCAUUUAACCUAAAGAUUUAUUUAUGAUAAAUUAAUAAUUAUAUUUUUGAAAUUACUUCAAAUAUUAAAAAAAUUAAUAUUACUAAUCUAUUAGAUAGAUUAAAUUAUAUAUAUUAUUUUCUAUUUAUUAAAAAAUUAAAAUUAUUUUUAAUUACUAUUCAAAAAAUAUAAUGAUAAAAAAAAAUCUUAACAUCUUUAUUAAAAAUUUAAAAUUUACAUGAUCAAUUCUCUAAAUAUUUAGGGUAUAUGUGAACAUCGGUGGAGAAGCUUUAUUUAAUAUUAUUGAUUUAAAUAAUAUGUCAAUUAAAAAUGUGCGGAGAAGAAAUUUCGGUGGGUAUUUUAGUCUUUUCAGCAAUUAUCAUGAUCAGAUCAGCCUUUAGCCUUGAAACGUCGGUCAGAAAGUUUUAAAAUUAACGCUAACAAGAAAAAGCUAGGUCAUAUUCCACAAAAGCAAAAGUGACAAAACAACCAGUUGGUUUCUUUUACUAAACUACAAAUUAAAAGUGGAUUCUUUUGAAUACAAGUGGGACAGACGAUUAGGCUCUUUUUAUUAAAGGCAAGUAAAAAGUAGUCGAAUAGUCUUUUUCAAAUUCUUGUUUUAAUAUUUUUCAAAACUAGUUUUUGGUAAUUACAAUCGGGUCAUUCAUUAAUCAUUAUUCAGAGUAAUUAUGAAUUUCCCAAUUAUAAUUACUAACUGUUUUUCCUUAACCACUCGGCUCAGCCCGAGUGGCCAGGGCUGCUGCCCUCCAAGUUCGAACCCCCACAAAAGUAUUGUGGGGGUAUUUUCUUUCUCAAUUAAUUUGAGUGAAGGUAGUCUUUUCCUUUAUCCAUGAGUGAGGAGUAGACAUCCCUCGAAUAUUUGUGAGGGUUAAAAUCUGAGUAGAGCUCUAUUAGCAUUGAUGUAAGUUGAUCCCAGUAAUUGUCUGAUCUGUAAAUAUCAGGUUAAAAUCUGGGCAAAGCUCCAUUAGCAUUGAUGUAAGUUGAUCCCAGUAAUUGUCUGAUCUAUAAAUAUCAGUUAUAGUCUCAUGUAAUAUGAGUUGUAAUCUGAGCAAUAGUCUCGUGUAAUAAAAAAAAAAAAAAACUAUUUUUCCUUCAAAAGUUAGAGACUCGUGUUUGCAACUUGCAAGUGUGAAUGUGCAAUGCUCUUUGUCUAAAGGCUAGUGUUUCUAGUGGGUCCCGACUCGAGCGUGCCUAAAUCAUUUUAAAAUUUUUCCCGUAUAAUGGACAGAGGUCAUUACUAAAAUUUCUCUUCCACAGGCAAUUACAGCAGCUCCAGUUUAUCAAACUCAACCAAUUUUCUUUCUUAACAAAAUUCCAAAGAUGUGUAGCUUUUUUCAGAUCACAUGCGAUGGUGCUCUUUUCAAUCGUUGCUUGGAUUGCUUUCUUGGAAAAGCAGCAUACAUACGUAACCUCCAAGAUAAUCUUGAUGCCUUGGAGACUGAAUUGGGAAAUCUGAUCGCUAAAAAGAACGAUGUGAUGAGGAGGGUUGUCGAUGCUGAACGGCAACAAAUGAGAAGGCUGGACGGAGUGCAAGUGUGGGUUUCGAGGGUGGAUGCUUUUAAAACUGGAGCCGAUGAACUUAUCAUAGACGGCUCUGAAGAAAUUGGCAAAUUAUGUGUUGGAGGCUACUGUUCCAAGAACUGCAGGUCAAGCUACAAAUUCGGAAAACAAGUGGCUAGAAAGCUACGAGAUGUGGAGACUUUAAUCGCCGAGGGAGUUUUUGAGGCGGUGGCUACUGAGGUGGUGCCUGAGAGAGCUCCAGAGCCUGUAGCAGAUAAAAGACCCAUUGAGCCAACAAUAGUAGGCUUGCAAUCACAGCUUGAACAAGUUUGGAGAUGUCUUGUAGAAGAAUCAGUGGGAAUCAUUGGCCUAUAUGGUAUGGGCGGUGUUGGUAAAACCACACUAUUGACCCAUAUCAACAAUAAAUUUCUUGAGAGUCCCACAAACUUUGAUUGUGUGAUUUGGGUCCUAGUUUCAAAAGACCUGCGACUUGAAAAAAUUCAAGAAGAUAUUGGGAAGAAGAUAGGUUUGGUUGAUGAUUCAUGGAAGAAUAAAAGUUUUGAAGAGAAAGCUGUGGACAUCCUGCGGAGAUUAGGAGAGAAGAGAUUUGUAUUGUUGUUAGAUGAUUUAUGGGAGCGGGUUGAUUUAACAGAAGUGGGCGUUCCACUUCCCAGCGCACAAAAUACUACCUCAAAAGUCGUAUUCACAACCCGUUCCAUUGGUGUUUGUGGCAGCAUGAGAGCUAGGCCGGUUAAAGUGGCAUGCCUAUCAGAAAAGCAAGCUUGGGAACUGUUCCGCGAAAAUGUUGGGGAAGAAACUCUUGAGAGUGAUCAUGAGAUCGUUGAGCUAGCCCAAACUGUAGCCAAAGAGUGUGGUGGUUUGCCACUCGCACUUAUUACUAUUGGUCGAGCUAUGGCCAACAGAAAUACAGCUGAGGAGUGGAGACAUGCAAUUGAAGUAUUAAAAAGGUCAGCUUCGGAGUUUGCGGGUUUGGAAAAAGAUGUAUAUCCUCUUUUAAAGUUUAGUUAUGAUAGUUUGCAGAAUGAGACGAUUAGAACUUGUUUCUUAUAUUGCUGUUUGUAUGCGGAAGAUUAUGUCAUUCCUAAAUGGGACUUGAUUGAUUGUUGGAUUGGUGAGGGAUUCUUAGAGGAAUCUCACGGUUUUGGUGCAGAAAACCAAGGAUACUACAUUGUGGGCACUCUUGUUCGUGCAUGUUUAUUAGAAGAGGUGGAAGAUGAUGAAGUAAAAAUGCAUGACGUUAUUCGUGAUAUGGCUAUAUGGAUAACCUGUGAAAUUGAGAAGGAGAAGAGAAACUUUUUGGUUCGUGCAGGUGCUGGAUUAAAAGAGGCACCGGAUGUUAAAAGAUGGGAAAAUGUGAGAAGAUUGUCAUUGAUGCAAAACCAAAUUGAAACUCUGUCAGAGGUUCCCACAUGCCCUCAUCUCCAUACUCUAUUUCUUGCCUCUAAUAAUAGUUUGCAGAGGAUCACCGAUGGCUUCUUCCAACUUAUGCCUUCUCUCAAAGUUUUGAAGAUGUCAAACUGCUGGAAUUUUACUUUGAAAUUACCUUUGGCGAUGUCAGAGUUGGGUUCGUCACUAGAACUUCUUGAUAUUUCAUAUGCCAGCAUAACAGAGUUACCAGAAGAGUUAAAGUUGUUGGUAAAUCUGAAAUGUUUGAAUUUGAGGUGGACAGAUACGUUAAAUAAAAUUCCACGGCAACUAAUAUCAAUUCUUUCAUGGUUACGUGUGUUGAGAAUGUUGGGUACUGGCUGGUUCAAUUUUCUUGAAGCACCAGAAGACAGCGUUUUAUUUGGUGGGGGUGAAGUUUUGAUACAGGAAUUGCUCGGUUUGAAAUAUUUAGAGGUAUUGGAGUUGACCUUGGGAAGUUAUCAUGCUCUCCAAAUUCUUUUGAGCUCAAAUAAGUUAAAAAGUUGUAUUCGAUCUCUUUACCUCCAUUUGACCGGAGAUACAGCGUCAAUUAUUGAUGCUACGGUUUUCGCAGAUCUAAACCAACUCAAUCAAUUAUGGAUUGAUGAAGGUAUUGAGUUGGAAGAAUUGAAGAUUGAUUAUACGGAGAUAGUACGAAAAAGGCGGGAACCUUUUGUUUUCCGCAGCCUUCACUGUGUUCGUAUAGAGCAGUGCCAUAAAUUGAAAGAUGUGACAUUCCUCAUUUUUGCUCCAAACCUCAAGUCUCUUGACCUAUCCUACUGCUCUUCUAUGGAAGAAGUAAUCAGCGUCGGAAAAUUUGCUGAGACUCCUGAGAUGAUGGGACAUAUAAGCCCUUUUGAAAAUCUCCAAAGUCUUCAUUUAUCGCAAUUGCCAGCUUUGAAGAGCAUCUACUGGAAGCCAUUGCCUUUCACUCAUCUCAAAGAAAUAUCUGUGGGUUAUUGCCGUAAUCUUAAAAAGCUUCCACUCGAUUCCAACAGUGCAAAGGAGCGUAAAUUUGUAAUUCGUGGAGAAGAAGACUGGUGGAACCGACUUCAAUGGGAGGAUGAAGCCACUCAAAUUGCUUUUCGUUCCUGUUUCCAACCAAUGGGAGUACUGAGCGGUGGUCGCAAAAUUUGAUUUCUGGUGAGUGCGUUUGUCUUUUAAAAGCAGAAUUUAAAAGAAAUUUAUUCUUGUCGUUUUCUUCUCUGUUUUUAUUUGAUUUCUGGUUAGUUUCUCUCUCGCACUGCCAUUACUGUUUUAAUUUCCUGUCAAAAGACGAGCGAGAAGAACAUAUAUAUGACGUAAACCAAUUGAUAAAUAUUAAUUGCCUGUUCUCUGUUUUUAUUAAGUAUACUUUAUUUUGCCCUGUUCUCUGUUUUUAUUUCAUUCUCUCUCUCUCCCUCUCUUUCCUGUCUUCUGCAAGUCAUAAUUAAAUGUUGAAUUAUAUGGAAUUAAUGCUUUAUAAAUCUGCCUACGCUGGCUUUUUUUUUUUUUUUUGUGGGGUCGAAUUGAUGCUCUGGUUUUCGACUACUUUUUGUUGUCAAAAUUUUCUCUGUUUUUUCAAAUUGAUGCUUUAUUUAUAUCUUCUUCGUGAAAAGUGAUUUAAUUUCCUGCCAAAAGACGAACGAGAAGAACAUUAGAGUCUAACUAAUGCUCACAUAAAUUUCCCGUAAGAAUAUAUAUAUAAUUAGACUGGAAUGCACACCUCUAGAUUGAACAGAAUUAAAGCUGAGAAAAUAUUGAGUAUAGUAGCCCUCUUUACAGAAAAUGACGCGAAAGUUAAUUUAGAAAAAGAUAUAUUCUUGAUUAAUCCAUUUUCUGAAGUUUUUUAUUUUGUAUGGUCAAUUAUACCUUCAUACUAAAAAUUUCUGAAGUUAUGGGGUUGUUGGAUGUGUUUUGGAUAUUUGCAGCUAAGUUUGAGUUUAUAUCUCAACUUAAAAUUUGUAGUUUUCACUUGAAAAAAUUCAGUUAAAAAUUUAUUGGUAGAAUUGUGAAAAAAGUUAAAAUUUUUAGUUCAACCCGAUUGCAUAUUUAAGAACAUCUCAAAUGAAUUGCUUACUGCUAUCAUCAUCAUUAUUGUCCAUAUAAUAAUGGAUCUUUAUUAUAUAUAUAUAUGUUUCCACUAAAAUAUAUUUAAUUAUUCUUUAUUUUUCCAUUGUUGCGUGUAAGAUUUAUUUGAGUUCUAAGUUAUAUCAAUACAAAUGUUAUCUUAUCCAUAAAAAAGUUAGAUCCAACAAUUAUGAAAAUUACCAUAGAGUUGCUUUCAAUUAUUUUUUAAAAAUACCAGGAGUAAAUAAUAAUUAGUUCAAGUGGUGUAGACUAAAAAGUGUUCACCUUUAUUUUUUAUCUGUUAUUUAUUUAUUUCAUUAAUGCACAUGCUAUACAUUUGAGACACUCCAUCCUAUGCAAUGUGAAUAAAUUUCUUUCCUUUUUCCUUUACUCUUUUUAUUUGACAAUAAAGUUUCCAUCUAUCAUCUAUCAUCUAUCAUCUAUGUACGCAAAAUUUCUGCAACAAGUACAAAACAUAAAAAUAUAUAUGAUUGUUAAGGGAAACACGCAGAAGUUCAUCAUUUCAAUGUUCAGUAUUACCAAUUUUGGCAUUAAGCUUGUACGAAUAUAUUCCACUUAGAAAGCAAAAUAUUAGACUCAUGAUUUUAAUUCAUUCAUUAUCUCUCAUUUUAAUCCCAAAAUAUUCAAGAGUAUCCAAGUUACCAUAAGACUUCAGAGGCUCGAGCCUUAGCCAGAGAUGGUUAAUUGAUAGACUAUGUGCCUGGGUCGAGCACUGGAAGCCUGCAAUGCAGACUGAUUGAUUUAUCAGUUUGACGUGUGCCAGGAAUGAAGAACUGGAAUAUCACCGUCAAGCACGCACCCUGUGGAGCAAUACCAAAGAAUGCACAAUCUGGCUUUGCUAGGUGACACUGGAGGCUUUUUGAAAAGUGCUUCACGCUCACUUGCACAGAUUGAGCAUCCCCUCCGGAUAUUGCCCUCUCUGAUCGAGUCCGAGCACUCAAAUUUCAAUCCUCAGAUGGAGCUACAGCUUUCUCUCCAAUAACCAACAAUUUUCUAAACUCAGCUCCUAGUGUGAUGAGAGUUGUUGAUAUUUGUAAAUGGAGAUCCCCAUAUUUGCAAAUGGAGACAUUUAACAAAUCACCAACAUGCUUCAUUCGGUCUACGAAAUUCUGCAGCUGAUUCAAAUCCGGAACCUGAACCAGAGUCGGAGGUAAAUCUUGAGCCAUAUCUAAAGCAGUCUGAAGUUCAAGUACUUGAGCCCUUGACAAUGGUUUUGAAAUAGGAACAUCUUGGAUUACUGCAGACUUGUACCCCUUGGUUUCAAAGGUAAGGAAAGGCAUUGCUUGAGUACAAUUUGGAGGCAGCUUCUUCACCAAUUUUAUUUGGAGGCGAUUGGCAGCGGAUCCAGCUGCACCAAUUUCAGAGCAAAUACUGACACUACUUCGAACAGCACACUGAAGAAGUGAUAUGUCUACGGCAAAGGCAAUGCAGUCCUCAUUUUGGCUUGAGAUGCAGUAAUCAUCGAAGAGAGUUUCCUUGUGAAACUGGGCAACACAUUGAAUCCCUUCGCCACUGAGAAGGUUGUGGAGGAAGUAAGCUUUCUCUCUAGUGAGGAAGAGGUGGCAUACCUUCCCCAUUUUGUCUAGGGCAGGUAGGAAUCAUUUUUCUAAGAGAUUUACUUCAUUCUCUGUGAGAAAUGAAUUGAACUUCAUCCCUCUGUCUCUAUCCUCACUUAUCAGAAAAUAAGUUGAAAGCACUUCGGAGAGAGAGAGAGAGAGAAUUAAGAUAUAUAGACAAGAAAAAUAUUAGACGUUGAUCUUACAAACUAAUACUUCAAGCAGUAUCCUAGAAAGCUAAAAACUGCAAGAUGGCUUGAAAUUUGAAAAGAGCACGUGCUUUUCCUCCUUAACUUGAGAAAAUGUUUAAUAUAGUGCACCUACAGAAGCAUUUAAGCAAUUAGAACUUUGCACAAAAACAUCAAGAAGACUAAACAAAUCAGAUGCAGUGUAUUUGUCCAAGCACAAAUUGCAUUUUGUCCUCAACUUUAAUAUUUAUUGAUGAGAAUCAAUACAGGUCCCUCAUUUGAUAUAGAAAGCUUUCUUUCUUGUAGUCUCACCAGUUAAUUCACAGGUCUAUAAUCAUCUUGCAAAGUUAAGGGCAUUUCUUUCGAUCUAAAGUCUUUGCAUCACCACCUCAUCACACGCCAAGCCAAUAUUCCAUUUACCUCUACAACAAAAAGUUUUAAGUAAACAAUCCUAAUGCACGCAGCCAAAUAAAAUGCAGUAAGAAUAUUCAACUUAAAAAUCUGAAAGCCGACUUGGUGAAUUGCCUCCUUAGGUGAAGUUCCAUGCUUUACUAUAGUUGACAGAACUCAGCAAAAGCUUCCAUACAACAGAUUUUGAAAAUGAUGAUGCCAAUAGAUACUCAUUCAAUCCAUUGAAAAUCCAAAGGUUCAUUGUUAAUAGAAGUUUACAGAGUUUUGGUCAUCAAAUAGCUCAGACCUAAUCCCAAACAAAAAACGAGUGAAAAUUAGAUCACGAGCAGCUGAUUGUAAAUUCUAACUUAACUCUUCAUCUCCUUUGUAAACAAGAAACAAAAUGGAGACACGCAAAAUGAAUAUGGAGAAAAUUUGAACUCAAAUGAAAUGAGGGCACGAAAGCAAACAAAUGGCAUGCACAAAAAAACCAAGCCUCAAUCAAAAACUAAUUAACCAUUAAGAAAAAAAUUGGUCAGAUAAUGAACUACAAAUUCAGGAGUCAAGCAAGAAGCUUUCAUUAUUUCAGAAGCUCCUGUACAAAUUAAUAAGUUAUGCUCUUUGGAAGCAAACCUAAAUUCCAAGAGAAACAGAACCCAAAAAAUUUGCAAUUAUACGCAAAGGGAGUGAAGCACAGGAUUCUAUCACACAUAGGAAUUGUAUAACAAGAGAUCGAUAUAUCGAAUUAGAAAACUCAAUUCGAAUUUGUGUCAAAAAUCAAAAUUAGAAGAUUUCACAUUUCGAGAGGAACAAGCAACAGAUGAAGUUCAAAAUUUCAGCCAUAACAUGCUAAAAAUGCUACACUUAACGGUUCAUUUUCAUGGAUUUUCUCGGGAAACAAACAGAAAAUUACGGUUUAGAGAUUUGACUGACCUUUUGGCUUUUGAAAUUGAGAAGAUCGCACGCCAAAUUGGAAGAGGGAAAGUGAAAGUGCGAGUUUUAAUAUGGGUAUUAGAUAAGGAAAUUUUAUUAGGUUGCGAGGGUAAAAAAGGAAAGAGAUAUCAUUGUUUUAUUAUCGAUAAUUAUUAAAUUUUUUUCCAAAAAAAAAGAACAAGCAAGGAUAUUUUAUUGUCAUUUGCAACCUUUAAUUUUUUAAAUGCUAUUAGAAACACAAGACAAUAAAGAAAUACUUAUUUUUUUCUAAAACUAAAAUCAAUUGUUUAAAAAAAAUUGUUUCAAAAUUACUUGAGUCAUAUCCAAUGGACCAACAAAGUAAUCGUUUUUAUUUUUAUUGAUUUUUGCAGGAAAUUAAUAACUUAAAAAUACUGAAAGCUAUUGUAAAAAUUUUUAUUAUCAACCUCAUAGUUUUUUUUUUUUUUUUUGGGAAGAGAAUUCAAACUUUUUUUUUUAUGAAUAUCGCUGUUUCGUUUGAGUUGGAUGUGAAUUCAAAUACAAAUAUUCUUUGUUUUUCAAUUCUGAACUCAAUUUCUUUUUUUCAAGAAUGUUAUGCAGAAAUGAUUUUUACUGAACGGCAACAAAUGAAAAGGCUGGGCCAAGUGGAAUGGUGGGUUUCGAGGGUGGAUGCUGUUAAAAUUGAAGCUGAUGAACUUAUCAGAGACGGCUCUCAAGAAAUUGACAAAUUGUGUGUUGGAGGCUACUGUUCUAAGAACUGCACGUCAAGCUACAAGUUCGGGAAACAAGUGGCUAAAAAGCUACGAGAUGUGGAGACUUUAAUCGCUGAAGGAGUUUUUGAGGCGGUGGCUACCGAGGUGGUGCCUGAGAGAGCAGAGCCUGUAGCAGAUGAAAGACCUACCGAGCGAACAGUAGUAGGCUUGCAAUCACAACUUGAACAAGUCUGGAGAUGUCUUGCAGAAGAAUCAGAGGGAAUCAUUGGCCUAUAUGGUAUGGGCGGUGUUGGUAAAACUACAUUACUGACCCAUAUCAACAAUAAAUUUCUCGAGAGUCCAACCAACUUUGAUUGUGUGAUUUGGGUAGUAGUUUCAAAAGACCUGCGACUUGAAAAAAUUCAAGAAGAUAUUGGGAAAAAGAUAGGUUUGGUUGGUGAUUCAUGGAAGAGUAAAAGUGUAGAGGAGAAAGCUGUCGACAUCUUCCGGAGUUUAAGAGAGAAGAGAUUUGUAUUGUUGUUAGAUGAUAUAUGGGAGCGGGUUGAUUUAACAAAGGUGGGCGUUCCACUUCCCGGACCCCAAAAUACUACCUCAAAAGUCGUAUUCACAACCCGUUUCAUCGAUGUUUGUGGUAGCAUGGAAGCUGACAGGAAGUUCCAAGUGGCGUGCUUAUCAGAAAAGGAUGCUUGGGAACUGUUUCGAGAAAAAGUUGGGGAAGAAACUCUUCAGAGUCAUCAUGAUAUCGUUGAGCUAGCCCAAAUUGUGGCCAAAGAGUGUGGUGGUUUGCCACUCGCACUUAUUACUAUUGGUCGAGCUAUGGCCUGCAAAAGGACAGCCGAGGAGUGGAGACACGCAGUUGAAGUGCUAAGAAGAUCAGCUUUUGAGUUUGCAGGUUUGGGAAAAGAGGUAUAUCCUCUAUUAAAGUUUAGCUAUGAUAGUUUGCAGAAUGAGACGAUUAGAUCUUGUUUCUUAUAUUGUUGUUUAUAUCCCGAAGAUUAUGGAAUUCUUAAAUGGGACUUGAUUGAUUGUUGGAUUGGUGAGGGAUUCUUAGAGGAAUCUGACAGGUUUAGUGCAGAAAACCAAGGAUACUACAUUGUGGGCACUCUUGUUCAUGCAUGUUUAUUAGAAGAGUUAGAAGAUGAUAAAGUAAAAAUGCAUGACGUUAUUCGUGAUAUGGCUCUAUGGAUAACCAAUGAAAUUGAGAAGGAGAAGAGAAACUUUUUGGUUCGUGCAGGUGCUGGAUUAAAAGAGGCACCGGAUAUUAAAGGAUGGGAAAAUGUGAGAAGAUUGUCAUUGAUGCAAAACCAAAUUAAAACUCUGUCAGAGGUUCCUUCAUGCCCUCAUCUCCAUACUCUAUUUCUUGCCUCUAAUGAUAAUUUGAGGAUGAUCACAGAUGGCUUCUUUCAAUUUAUGCCUUCUCUCAAAGUUUUGAAGAUGUCAAACUGUGUGGAUUGGCCAGUUUCGAAAUUACCUUUGGCGAUGUCAAAGUUGGGUUCACUACAACUUCUUGAUAUUUCACAUACCGGCAUAGAAGAGUUACCAGAAGAGUUGAAGUUGUUGGUAAAUCUGAAAUGUUUGAAUUUGAGGUGGACAUUUGAGUUAAAUAAAAUUCCAUGGCAACUAAUAUCAAAAUUUUCAAGGUUACGUGUGUUGAGAAUGUUCGCUACUGGCUUUGCCCGUUUUGAUGAAGCAUCAGAAGACAGCGUUUUAUUUGGUGGGGGUGAAGUUUUAGUACAGGAAUUGGUCGGUCUGAAAUAUUUAGAGGUAUUGGAGUUGACCUUGGGAUGUCAUCAUGCUCUCCAAAUUUUUUUGAGAUCAAAUAAGUUAAAAAGUUGUAUUCGAUCUCUUCUCCUCCACUUGGCCGGAGAUACAACGUCGAUUAUCGAUGCUACGGCUUUCGCAGAUCUAAACCACCUCAAUGAAUUAUGGAUUGAUAGGGCUAAGGAGUUGGAAGAAUUGAAGAUUGAUUAUACAGAGAUAGUUCGAAAAAGGCGGGAACCUUUUGUUUUCCGCAGCCUUCACCGUGUUACUAUACAUAGCUGCCAGAAGUUGAAAGAUACGACAUUCCUCGUUUUUGCUCCAAACCUCAAGUCUCUCGAUCUAGACCGUUGCGAUGCUAUGGAAGAAAUAAUCAGCGUCGGAAAAUUUGCUGAGACUCCUGAGAUGAUGGGACAGAUAAGCCCUUUUGAAAAUCUCCAAAUGCUUGAUUUAGAAGAUUUGCCACAUUUGAAGAGCAUCUUCUGGAAGCCAUUGACUUUCACUCAUCUGAAAGAAAUAUCUGUGGGUUAUUGCCGUAAUCUUAAAAAGCUUCCACUCGAUUCCAACAGUGCAAAGGAGCGUAAAUUUGUUAUUCGUGGAGAAGAAGACUGGUGGAACCGACUUCAAUGGGAGAAUGAAGCCACUCAAAUUGCUUUUCGUUCCUGUUUCCAAUCUCUUUUUGAUUAACUCUUAUACAUUUUCUCGUCGUUUGCUUCGUGCAAAAAAGACUACGUCUUUUGUUCUCUGUUUUUAUUUCAGUUUCGUUUGUUGUCUCCUGCAAAUCACAAUUAAAUGUUGAAUUAUAUGGAAGUAACGCUUUAUAAAUUUUCCGGCACUGCCAUUUCUUUUUCCUCUUUUUUUUUUUGGGUCGAAUUGAUGCUCUGGCUUUUUUACUUUUUGUCAUCGAAUUUUGCUCUGUUUUUCAAAUUGAUGCUUGAAUAUGUGAAUUCAAUUAAUGCUCACAUAAUUUUGUUUAGUUGCCGUAAAAAGAAUAUAAUUAGACUGCAAUUCGCACUCCCAGAAUGAAUAGAAUCACAACAGAGAAAAUAUUAAGUAUGCUAGCCCUCUUUACAGAAAAUCAAAUGAAAAUAAAAUUUUUUGGAUAUUUGAUUUUCUAUGGUCUACUAUAUACAGUUUAUAAAUUCUUCUGUUCUAAGGAUAACCAAAUCCUUUGUUCAAGGAUUUUUAUUUGGGGUAUUGAUAAUAGUCCACCAAAAUAGUGAAUGCUUGGAUGCUGCUUAAGGAUCUGUAAUCAAUAAGCUGGAAGCAAACGAGAAGGCGGUCGCUACUCUGUACAAAGCCAUGCAGCAAUUGCUAUUCAUCUUAAAUUCUUAAUAAUUACGAAGCUUUGGUAAAAUUUCCGAACAAAGUUGACAUGUUAUUUUGAGAUUUGGUUCCUGAUUUUGUAUGAAUAUCGCUGUUUCGUUUGAGUUGGAUGUGAAUUCAAAUCCAAAUAUUCUUUGUUUUUCAAUUCUGAAAUCAAUUUCUUUUUCUCAAGAAUGUUAUUCAGAAAUGAUUUUUACUAAAUCAUUUUUGAUGAAUUGUUUAAAUUAAACAAUUGGAAUAAGAAUUGUAACGAUUUAUCAUAAGCGUGCUAAUAUGAUAACUUAUUUUACGAACGAUUAAUUAAUUAAUCAAUUAAUGUUAAAUUAUAUAUUAAUCAAUUAGCUAUGUGUUGCAUUUAUCAUGUUUUGUAGGUGAUUCUACAUAAUUUCUAAAAGAAUAUAGUAAAAACACGUUAAAAAUUAUUUAAUGAAGAAAAUUUUAUUAAAUAGGUGACACAAUAAUAAAUGGAUUUCUGUAAGAAUUGAGAUUCUUGAGAUAAUUAUUACAUAAGGAGAAGUUUAGUUGGUUCAAUUUUGACAUGAUAAGAAGACAACACAGCACAGAAAACCCAAAUUGCCACUUCCACUAAUAAAAGAUACCUGUUUGAAAAGUAAUUAUAAACUAUCUUCUUUGUGUUAUUUCUCAAAACUUUUGUGGCACAAAUGUUAUUUCCAUUGACAACAGUACGAAAUACCACCCCUUUCACUUGAGCAGGAGCAAAGCAAAGGUAUGAUGAGCUAUCUCUGUAUAAUUGAAACGCCAUUACUAAACGAUUCUUGAUGAUGGGAGCCACCGUGCCAGCUUUGUCGCUGAUUUGCAUGAUUUAUUAGUUGUCCAGAUGGCGGAUUUUGUACUGUUACCUUCGUUUCAUUCUUCAGAGCCAUGUACAGUUCUAGGAUACCAGAGAAACCAAGGUGGCAUUGAAGUUGCCCCAGUGGUUAGUUUUCCGAUCAUUUUUUUUAUUCAAUUAUUUAUGUUUGUAGAAAAAUGUAGGAAAUAUGUAGAAAUGUUGACAGCUAUGAUUUUGAAACUUUUGCCUAAAAUUGUUAUCAUUACUUCUUGUUUCUUAUUUAAAGAGAAAUUCUAGAAACAUGAAAUGAUUAUUCUACGCUUGUUUUAAUAUUAUGCUAUGAAGAUUAUGAAGGUUUGAUUAUAUGUCACUAUCAAUUGCCUUAAUCGUUUGUCGUAAAUCAAUUAAGCAUUUUGAUGCAAAUGAUUCCCUAUUAAAAAAUUCAAGUCAGAGCUGAAUUGCAAAUUAGUUAGUCGUGCUUGCCAUUCAAAUUAAGUAUUGUAUUUUCUCCCUGAUUUGGUUGAUUCAACUAUGUGCAUUUGCUUAUGAACGUUGUAGUACAGAAAUUGAAACAUCUUGUCUUUUGCUAAGCCCAGAAGCAAAUUCUUUGUAUUCUACUCAUCAGUUUUCUUCAUUCUCUUCGUUGAAAUUUUAUCCAAACAGCGGUUUCGAAAUUGUUUUCACCACAAUACCUUAGUCUUUCAGAUGCUCCCGUCACUGAGUUGCCAGAAGAGCUAAAAGCCUUGGUAAAUCUUAAGUGUUUGAACCGGAGUACACAAAUUAUCUCUCUACAAUUCCAAAACAACUGAUUUGUUACUUUUCGAUGCUACAUGUUCUGCGAAUAUUCAGUUGUGAUUAUCUUGUUCAAAUACCAGAAAAUAGCGUUCUAUUUAGUGGUAAUGAAUUCUUGGUUUGGGAGUUGCUUAGUUUAAAACGUUUAAAUGUAUUAAGCAUCAUCUUGAAAAGUUUUUCUGCCGUCCAAAAACUUAUGAGCUCCCAAAAGUUUCAAAGCUGUACACAAUGCUUGGAGCAUAUAGGCUGUGAUGAUCCAAAGUCAUUUGCCUUGGCAGAGUUGAAACAUCUUGAAAAACUAGGUUUUUCGAGUUGUGGAAAUUUGGAAGAGUUAAAGUUCUGCUGUGUCGAAGUUGCAAAGGCUCGAGAAUGUUUUCGUUUGAACGGCCCUUGCUGAGUUAAGAUGAAGGCUUGUCAUAAAUUGUGGGAAGCGACAGGUUAUUCAAAUAGAAAAAUGUAUGGAGAUGGAUGUUAAUCUUAAGGUUAUUCAAGCAGACAAAUUCGAAUAAAACUUAUGGUAAGUGCUUUUCCAUUUAUUGCAUAUUUAUAUCUAAUUUUUAUUUUCCUUUAUUGUUAAAUUUUGCUCUAUAUUUGUUGUUGUAUGGUGGCAUUCUUGUACAAUUAUUAGCUUUUCAUUUCUCUUCUCACAUUAACUGCCCUUCUGAUCAUGUAGGAUUUGCUGAUGCAAAGAGUCAUAAUUUGGGAUACAAAUGUAAGAAUUAGACAGAUGACGUGUUGUUUUGAAGCUCUCGAAGAAGAAGGACUAAUUAUGUCAUUGAAAGCCUCCAAUUUUGUGAUUGGUUUCUUUUUAUUUUAUUUGUUGUUUUCUCUAUUUUCAGAUCGCUUAAUUGUUAGUUGUUGUAAUGUAAUGUUUUAGUAUAGAAAAUUAUAUUCGGCCAAGACAGCGAUAGGAAGGCACAUUGUGCAUGCACACUAGUGGAUUUGGCAUGCCAACUCCAAUUAGGAUGGAUAACACUUUAUAAGCAUUAGGCUUCUCUCGUACUUGAGUAAUAUAGAAUAUGUUUAUAAGUUGUGAAUCACCCUUUAUAAGUGUUAGGCUUCUGCUAUACUCAGUGAUGUGAAAUAUAUUUAUAAGCACUAAACUUCUCCCAUACACUUUAUGUUAAAAAUAAUAAUAAUAAUAAUAAUAAUAAUAAAAUAAACCCAUUUUAACAGACUCUUUUUUCUUUUUCUAUAUGAACAAAUGCAUUCUUCAAAGCAAUUGUGGGUAGAAGAAGUGAGUAGAGAAGAACUGGGCCCCUUUCAUUCCCCUAAAACCUCACCAAAACCUCUCUUGUAAGCUUUUCGGAUUUUCUUUCUAUAUUUCUUAGGAACUCAUUUUUUAUUGAAUCACUUCUUUUGCAUGCUGCAUUUUUUGUUUGUCGUAUUUGGGUAUUAUCUUAUCUGGAAUACUGUUAUGAUUGAUGGAACAAGUAAUCGAUUUUUGGUCUAAUGGAAGUUGAUUUAUUUAUUUAUUGUUAUUUUUAUUUGAAAUUAUGUACAAUUGCAUUUCAUUCAUUUCUCUCUCUCUUUUUCUUUUUUUCCCCCCAUAUAUUUGUUAUGUAUAAUUGCGUUUCAUUUAAUAUUGAUCAUACUGUAGGUAACCAUGUGAUUGUAGAUUGGGAUUUCAAGUUUGUUGAAUAUUCAUGUAAGUGAAGUAACCGUCACAAUACUAGUGAAAUUGGGAGCUUUAUUCAUGAGUUUGUGGUUUUGAAAAGAACCACAGUUCAACUGAUGAAGGCUCCUUUUUGGGAUUCUUCUUUUUCUAGGCUGCAAUUAGGAUAUGUACAUGAUAGACAAUCUUUUGUUGGCUUGGCAUAUCUUCGCUGAUUUUUUCUUUUAUUCCCCAAUUUUAUAAUUACACACCAUGAAUGUUGGGUGAUUGUAUAGAAAAUUUGUGUUAUAACAAAAACAUUGUGAAGGAGUUUCCGUGCUAAUAGUUAGUGGCUUCUGUUUUAUUGGCAUUGAUUGGGUAGAUUACGUGUUACAGUGAUUCAAUUUGUGUUCCAAACUUUGCUUUAAUUUUCUGUUUUCCCCAACUAUUUAUGUCAAAUUUAAAUCCAGAAGCAUGUACUGAUUUUUUCUUUUUGUAUUAAUCUGUGAAGUUUAUUUGGAAUGGAAGUAACUGGGUCGGGUCUAAUGGAUUAAAUUAUGACAUUGAGGGGAAGGCACUAAAAGGGUUUGCUUGACACAUUUGGUUCUGUGUUUACUCUGCAAGAAAUAGCUUUUGCUUAUUGCAAUGCAGGGGGAAAUCCCGAUUUGGCUGGUGAAUUUCUCUGCAACAAACAGGCAAACACCUCAACCUCUUCUGUCCAUACUUCUGCUGGGGAGGCAAGGGGUAAAGAGUCUUCAAAAUCAUCAAAUAGUAACAUCUCUGAGAAUUCAUUUUAUGGAAAUGGAAAAUCUAGAGCUUCUAAUACAAAAUGGCAUCUGGUAUCAGGACGUACCGUUUCAAGUUUUCUUGGUAAAGAUUAUGUUAAACCUGCACAGCCAGCUAAUGGCACUUUUCUGGCAUCAAAGCCAUUGAAGUUGGAUCCAAAGGAGUUUCCCAUGUCUGCACUUUGCAGAGAAGAAUCUAAACCGAAACAAUCAAAGGAUGACCAUUUGCAGAAGGACAUGGAAGAUUUUCUGUUUAAAUUUCCAGGAGAAGGGUUCCAGCUGAACAGGGAUGUGAUUCAGGAGGUUCUCGGUAAUGUCUUAAAUAUAUUGAUGCCAAUUUAAUACAUAUUGUCCUUUUCAAUGUUCUUUCUUUCUUUCUUUCUCUUCUUUUAUUCUUCUUCUUCUUCUUUUUUCUUUUCGUGUGCAUGUGAUUGCUAAUUUUGUAUUAUUUUUAACUUGCAGAUAGUUGUGGAUAUGAUAUGCAAAAGGUAAGGACUAUAUCCUCCUGAUAGAGGCCUCUGCUUUUUCCCUUCUAUGUACGUAAUUUAGUAAAUCGCAUAUUCUAUAUAUCAUACCAAAAUCCUGUCUUAAAUGCUGCUGGCAUAUGUUAAGGUUCAACUUGCAUUUUGAUUAACGUCCAUUUGCUACGGCUUCCAAAAUUGAGAAUGAGAUACUUUGGUUAAUUUCAGUAGUUGAACCCAAUAGGGUACUUUAUUUAGAUCUUCAUGGUUCAAAGGCCCGAAAAAACUUGCAGGUAUUUGCAAAAUGACAUUCUGUGCUUUUAUUUAUACUUAUUAUUUAAGUGAUAAAAAUUCCCCAAACCUGCGGUCAAGAAAAUUUCAGACAGUUAAAGACUCCAUUUUGUUUCAGCCAAAAAUGUUUAUUUCAAUUAAAGAUUUGAACCAUUUUCAUUUAACCUGAUUGUGAUGCUUUACAUUGUGCACGUUCCUUUCGAUCAAUAAACGUUGAGGUCAUGAUUUUAUAUUCCUAUAUUGUAACCUAAAAUAAUAGUUGGUUUGCCUGUUUCUGUAGCUUGAUAACAUGAAUUUUCCUUCUGAAGUUACUUUGAUCAAUAAAGUUAUUCUUCGGAGAAGAUAUGCCCAUUCUAUAAUCAUUUUCUUAGCUAAUAUGUUUUUUUCACUCUUCUGAGCAUGUCUAAACUAAUUGAUCGCUCGGCAGAGACUGUGGGUAAGAAAACAAAAUUUCAUGGUAAAUCCUCUUAAAAGGUAUGCAUAAUUGAAAUGACCCGCCCCGAAUUCCCCUCAGGCGAGUCUAUCUAGUCUCAUCAAAACGGACUUGAUAAUAAUUCUAUUAGUAAAGACUCUGCCAAAAAUUCGGCAGAAUUUUUUUUUUUUUAUAUAUAACACUCCCAAUCUACAAAUAUGAAUAUAACACUCCCAAUACAAUUCAGUAUACAACAAACUCCAGUGAUCAACAUCUUCAACCAAAAUGCUGAGCUUUAUAUCUCCAGAGUCUCAAAAGAUAAUAUUAUAACUAAUAUUAAUAUCUUAGUUUAUUCUUAAUCCCAAAAGAAUAAUAUAACAAAAUUAUACAAUCCCAACAGGACGAGAUAACCAAGAUGUCCUAACAAAAAUAUUUAUAUCUUCUAACACCAUCACGUGGCCGAGAUUCAAAAUAUAUUUACAGUCGCUAGGUCGGUCUGGUGUACCUGCAACCUCCUGGUGAGGGGGGAAAAAUAUAAUAAAAACGGGGUGAGUUUAAAACUCAGUGAGAUCAGUGAGUGAAUAGUAGUUUUGAAAAUUAAUUCUUACUUUAAAAAAAAUAAUCGUAUCAUUUCCAAACACAAUUUCAUUAAACCAUAAGCGAGAAACCAAUAAUAAAUCAUUAAACAUUUAAAUCAUAUUACUAACCAUAGAAAUCAUAUCACAAUAUCAUAUAGAAUACACAAAUCUAAAAAUCAUCACCAAACAAGUACCCAGAGAAAUAAUCUCGUCAUAUCCGAACCUCAACAGACGGGCAAUGACGUACUAUCUAGGUAACGUCACACCCCGGAGCUACACGGAUAGACAGGGAAAUACCAUCUCAUAUCUCAUCAUAUAUGUGCAUGCAUAAUCUAGUCCCCAAGGGACAAAAGCGCCCAAGCACACGGCCCAAAGCCUCUGUGUAUACUCAGAGGGACCCCAAAGGCCUAUAUCUCAUAUGUAUCAUAUGUAUCAUUUGUAUCUCAAUUAUCUCAUAUCCGUAUAUCUGUAAUCAUCAUACCGCAUGCAUAUGCCCCCAAAAGGAAAAAGCGUCCAAACACACGGCCCAAAGCCUUUAUAUAUAUUCAGACGGGUCCUAAAAGCCUCUCAUCUCAUCUUAUCUGUAUCACUGUAUCUGAAGGGAAUGGUACUGUCUAAUGAUUUCAAAAACAAUCAUUAUACUCAUAUUCACAUACCUCUUAAUCAUAUUUUAAAUCAUACCACAUUUGAAUCCACUUUUCUUAUCUUUAAAAUACUAUCAUGCUUUAUUCAAAGUCGAUACGCAAAAUCAAUAACCAAACAUUUUAAUAAAAUACCAAUGCGUAAAUAAAAUCCAUUUCGAGAAAUCAUUAAAUCAGAACAUUUAAAAUACUUAUUUCGCAAACAUGCUUUACUAUCAUCGCUAACUAUGAAAAUAAGUUUUGUAUAUUCCACUCACAGUGACGGUGUUCACGGUCGGUUCUCGCUCGCGGAUCCUCCUAAAUCAACGAAACGACAUAAUUAUUUUCCGUAAAUCGGAAUUAUGACUAAAUUUUAUGCAAUAAAUUUAAAACGAACAUAUAUUCAUAAUUGACAACUCCUGUGUCCAUAAAAUUACUAAAAUGCCCUUGAGUCUGUAAAUCAUUAACAUGCUUCGAAAUCGUAAAUUACUGAAUUACUCUCGGAAUCGUAAUUACACUCAAUCCUCAAUUCUAGGAAUUACUAACAUAUCCACGGGCUCAGAAAUUACAAAUUUGCCCUCAUAGUGUGAAAUUACCAAAAACUGGAAUUUGGUCAACACUGGCUAGGAAGCUCAAAUCGUAAAGUUCCAAUCACGCUGAGUUCAAUGGUACCGGCGAUGAUCUCCAACGCGCGGCAACGACGCCGGAAUCUAGCUCGGCAGCCGUGAAUUCCACCAAUCGACCGGCGGCAAAACAGUGACUCUCGGUGCCUAUGGAUGGUCGGAAAUGGAAGAGGGAGUCGUGGGGAACAAAAUUCAACCGGUGGUGUAGCCAAAACCGGCGAAAAUCCCGGCGGAGCAAAGUGAAACAGUCGCGGGUUUCAAGCUUCGAUCGCCGGUGUUCCGAUUGGUUUUUGGCGAGGAGGAUGGCAAGGGAACGACGGCCGGCUUCUAAGCUUCAGAUUGGUACCAAGCUCGGCCGAAACGGUGGCCGGAAAUGGGAGAUAUGGCCGGGUCAAGGUCGCGGGUUCCGGGUCGGGUUUUCGGGUCUGUAGUUGGGUCGGUUUGGCAGCUUCUCUCUCACUCUCUGUUACACGUGCAUAUGUUUCCUCUGUUUCUAGCUUAUUCUUUUGCUUUUACUAACUUCUUAACCGCCUCAUACUUAUUCAUUUUUAAUUCACAUAUGUUACAAUAAUUCCCGAGUAUUAAAUAACCAGUGGUCAUAAUUUUUGUACACGACUCUUUUUUUUUUUGGAGAUCGUUAAAAGUGAUUGACGAUCCAUUUUGUAAUAUCAUAGAGGGAUCAUCAAUUCCUUUUCUUUUCUGUGGCUAGGCAACACUUUUUGGCCAAAGUAAGGAAAUCUAUUUUAGGUAAUGUAAAAACCAGUUGUAGGAUGUAAUAGUUUAUUAUGCACUGACAAUAACUUUUUGUAUAAUUGUCAGUUUAAUGAAUACAAGAGGAACUCUGUUGGCAAAUUCAUCCAAGAUAGAUGCUAAAAUUAUUUAUGCAUGCCAGUUGCCUUAACUAAGUUUUCUCAGCACUGGUUUUGAACAGGAAAAUGAAUAUGCAAUUUGUAGAUUGUGCCAUAGUGGAGAAUUUGUAUAUUCUUAUUUAAGUAACAAGGAGAUUAUUUACCUCAUCUUUAAACAAUGAAUCUUUGAGAGAUGAGGAGUGGGUGAUUGGCUGUGUCUUCAUGUAAUUGUUCAUUUAUUUGUAUUUUGAACUGUUAUGAAAAUCUUUAUAUGCCAAAUUAGUAAUACAAGUAUUCAGAUGAUUUUUCCUAUUGAUCAUGCAUUUGUAUCUGCCCACAACCAUUGUAUAUCACUUUAUUCUGAUGCGCAAGCAUCUGUAAUUUAGAAGAAAAGAAAUAAUAAUCAUAUUUUAUUGCUUGGUUCAUGAUUAUUAACGAUUAUGGCUUUAAAAAUCUACAAAUUUCUUGUGUUCAUGUAUGAAUGUGCCAAGUUUGCUGUAUCUUAGAUUACCUUCUUCCAAGAUAACAAGUUCAUAUAUAUUUUUUUUUAAAAUCCUUUUCCAUUACAGUUGAAUUUCAAGUGUUAGUUUUGUUAUUAGUACCUGGUUUCCUGUUAUUAGGAUCUAAUAAACAGUGUACGGAUAUGUGCUCUACUUUUGGAGGGCCUCCACGUGAAAGAAAAUUGCAACAAUUGAAUUCUUCCGGAGGGUAUGGUAAUUAAUUUAUUUUCUCAACUUGUUGUAAGACUAAUAUAUUUCCUUCAGUAGGCACGGCAUGGUGGGAAGGGUUUUUAUUGAAAGAAUUCUGAUAUUUCUUAGACUUUGUUUUGGAAGGGGGUGGAGGGAUUUCUCAUCCAUAUAUGGUUACUUGAUUAGCUUUUGACUGUAUUGUCUCCGUCGUGCAAAGGAAAAUCUAAAUACUAACGAUGGGGAAUUGCUUAGGCACCCAAAAGGCAGAAAUGAAUUACAGAAGGAAGUUUUUGCUGCUUUAUUUAGUGCUGCUGAGAAAUCUGAUGAAUUUCCUGAAAUUACGGUGAAGACCGAGUGGAGGUCCAAAGCAUUAGGAAAGGUGGUGAGUGAACUGCCGGAGGAAUUAGUACCAGAAUACAAGGCUAAUGUGGUGCACUUGCAGCAAGAUAACCAGACCGGUAUGUGCUCUUAUAUUAACUAUAUUGACUGGAUUUGUUAGUGUGUGCAUUUUUUUGUGUAUACUCACUUUUGUAUUUAUGCAUAUUAACAUGUGUAGGAUUCUUGAUUUCUGCCACUUACUGGAGAACUAGUGGAAAGCUUUAUACUGAUAUAUCUGCAAUAACUAAUGGAAACUAUGAUAUGAAUAUUUUCUCUCACCUGGGGAGCUGUGUAACAGAUAUACUUUGUGGCUCUGGAAUGCUGAAGAUUCUGCAAUAACUAAUGGAAAAUAUGAUAUGAAUAUUUUGUCUCACCUGGAGAACUUUGUUACAGAUACCCUUUGUGGCUCUGGAGUGUCUAAAGAAUGCUUCCGUUAGAUCAAAUAUCUUUUAGUUAGAAAAGAUAAAAUUCUCUGAGUCUGAAAGACUGAAACAUUUUGCAUAUUUUGUGAAAGGGAAAUAUCUGUUGAUACUAGCUCAUGCAUUGAGGUAAUAUCGAUGUUAAAGAAAAACAGCAAUGAUUUAUGAUAUAGAAUUGGGUUCACUUGCUUUAAAUGCUGGUCUGAUCAACCAUAUCAACCUGUAAUGAUUCUGCAGAAAUAUAUAUACAAGGAGAAAGUAGCUAAAUUUUUCUUUCAUUUAUGGGUUCGGUCUUUUUUCCCCUUAUUUUUCAGCUUUCCUUCUCCUGAAGUAUGUUAACAAUUGCAGAUAAUGAUGAAGAGGACAGCUUCCAGGCUCUCCUUGGAGCCAUGAUGGAAUAUAGGGGCACAAUGAAGGAAUAUUGUAAAGCUGUAGGUACUUUUUCUCCUGUCAUUUAUGUUUUCUCACACAUUUUGUAUAUGCCCUGAACAUGCACCUUUGUAUGUAUCAAUUGACUUUUAAAUUUUAAAAGCCAUAAAGUAAGAAUACGGUUCCUUGUCAGGCUACUGAUGACAUUCGCUCAGGGGGAUCAUGUUCGAGCAGGAAAAUUUCUAGAACAGGUAAGGUUUCCAUCUACAGCCAUCCAUUGACAGCAGAUAAAUUUUCAUUCAGCAGACUCUGUUAGCAUUCAAGAUGCUGGCAGAUUCACUUGAUUCUUAUUAGCUUGUUUAGUGGCAAAGCCUAUAACCUGUAUUUCAAAGCCAAGUUGUGCUAUUGAUUAUGUUAACUUUUUUGUUAACAUAAAAUGAUAUGGAGGAAAUAAUCAGUGUUGGAAAAUUAGGUGAAAAGAUGAUGUCAAAUCUUGAACCUCUUGCGAAACUCUAAGUUCUUUACUUGAAGAGGCUACCAAAUUUGAACAGCGUCUACUCGAAGGCCUUGCCAUUCCCUGAUGCAUGCAGAAUUUUUGUAUUUAAAUGCCCAGAGCUUAAGAAGCUGGCACUGGAUCUUGAAGGGGCAGACCAAGGUAAAAUUCUUAUCAAGGGAAAGGAAGAUUGGUGGAAACAACUUAAUGGGAGGAUCAAGUAACUCAGAAUACAUUGCUUCCAUUUUUUAAAUCGACUGACAAGUGAUUGAACGGGGCAUCAUCAAUAUCAUCAACAGGGAUGGAGAGAUGCCGGAGCAGAUCAGCAGGGUUUGAAUAUGACCUUCGGCGGUUGCUUUUUUUUUUUGUGAUUUUUUUUCAUUUUUUCCUUCCUGUCAUUUUAUCAUUUCUUUGGCUCUGUUUCUAUUGCGGGUGUUACUGCAUGCUUACUGUUGCUUGACAAAGUUUGCUAGCUUUUUGUUUGCAGCGCUGCUAUACGCCCCGAGUCAAGCCCCGAAAAUUUAUUAAACGACGCCGUUUCGACAGUAACAAUUCUUUUCUUUUCCCUUUGCCUGUUUCUUUCAUCUGCUGUUUCUCUAUCACUUUUCAUUUUUGAUUUCCGUGCUUCCCAGCUGCCCCUAAAUUGUUAUUCUAGCAAUAUACUUUCUCAUCUUUGAAUUUUCAUCCUUGAGUACUCCCACAGCCGUAAUUUCAUCAUUAUAGACUUCACUUGGAAUGCUAGAUUUUUUCGAUUCUUGAGCUACUUCAAUUACAUCUUAGUAUAGGAUCCUCAUCUUCCUUUAUUUCUUCAUCUUAUGAGGUAACAAAUGGAUUUCACAACUCAUCUACUUUUAAGCAAUUACAUAUUAUACCCUGAAUGAUUCAACUGUUCCGACAGUUAAAGAUUUUAUGCUCAACCUGCAGUGCUACGAACAUUGUCCAUGAAAGAUGAGUUUCAGCAUAUAAAAUGAAAUAUAGAUGUUUAAUCUAAAAUAACCCUUCACUGCCAGAAACCUAGGUCACAAAAUUCACAGAUAAUGAUAAAGAACUAAAAAAUUUGAAAAACUCUACAGAUCACACAUCAAGCAAGAUAUCAUGUUUUUUUCCCUCAUUCGGUGGUGAUUGAUUCGCUUUUUGAUGAUGGAUAUGGUAUAAAAGUUUUGACCCAAUUUCAAGCAAACACAAAUAGAAACACAAACACAAUCAGGACUAGAGUUGUGGGCGAUUAUCUCAGGUGUACAAGUGAAACGGUGGUGGCUGUCGAUGGUGGUAGUGGGGUGGUUGGGUAUGCGUGAUGGCUAGAUUUUAGGACAAUAAUGGUUGGAGUUGACCUCAAUCAACGAAGGAAAGUGACAACAAUUUUGACAUCAAAUGGUGCAUUUUUUAGCUUAGUAAAAUGGAACCGUUUUGAAUUUGGGGUUUAAUCCGGGGUUUGACUCGGUGCAAGUAUCAUUUUCCUUUUGUUUAUUAAAUUUUUUAUGGUCACAAAGUAUUACUCGUUCUAUUUGAGAGUGAUGUGAAUCAAUUUUUCAAUUUUAUAUUUUGUGGUCAAUGUGAAUUCAAUUUCAUUUGUCUCCUGCAAUUAUGAAAAAAUUGCAGUCAUAAUAUGGAAAAGUACACCGGCAAAGACUUUGUAAAACCUUCGGAGUGAUACGGGGAAUUCACUUACAACUAAGGACAAUUGGUGGCAAGUUAUUCCAUUCAUUUUAUGUCCAUGCAUCUAUUUAGUUAUUGAAGAUUAGUGGUCCAUUUGUAAAUUUCAGAUUGUCUCUCUCUCUCUCUCCCACUUGAAAUAACAAUAUUUAAUAUAUCUCUUAAAUUAUUAUAAAUUUUAAUUUACUCUCGAUUUAAAAUGGAGCAUGUCGAUAAAUUUUUUUUCUUCUUAAUAAAAUUGACGUAAUUUGUGUUUACAGUAGUUUGAAGUUUGAAAUAUUUUAAAGAUUAUUAUUCUAUAAGGGAGUAAUAUGAAAUGAAAUUUACUUUUCAUGUGUGAACUGAAAAAGGACGAAGCAAGUGUCCCUGCUUUUAUUUUAUUUCAAGGAGGAGUCAUCUCGCAUACUUUGGCUCUUAACAUUACAUUUUUUCUGGUUACAUUUUUUAUUUUUUUUUACACAUGCGUGUGGGUUGCUUUUCUGUAAGCUCCUUAAUAUAUAUUUAAGACAAAUCAUGGAAGAGAUGGGAUUAUAUCAAGAUGAUCAAAGCAUGUAAAAAAAGAAAAAAGAAAAAAAAAAUUAAGAAGUAAGACACUGAAAAUGGAGAAGAGAUGGAAGCAAAAGAUAUUCCAAAACAAAGCAAUCUAUCCCCCUUCGAGGGCAGACUUAUCAGGUUUAAAAAAGUACAUGCUUUGGAUUGGUAGUUGCAAUCAAGGGAAAAUAAAUAGGAUCCAAUGAAAUUUAAAUCUCGGAGAAAAUAAAUAAUCAUGCAGAUUUUCAAGAUUUUAAUAAGGGAUACUAAUAUCUUAUUUUGAUUAAUAACAUUCUUUUACUGUGUUAACUCAAAAAAAAUAUUAUAAUGCUUUACAAUAAAUACAAAUGUCCUAUUAAAUGAAUAUAUAAAAAAUUUAGAAAAUUAUAUAAAAUAAUUUUAAUAUAAUGCGUGAGAUAUAUUUUAUUAAUUUAAAAUGUCAUUUUACCUAAAAAAUAUGAUAAAUUAAUAAUUACAUAUUUGAAGUUAUUUCAAAUAUUAAAAAAAUUUAAUAUUAUUAAUCUUUUAGAUAGAUUAAAUUAUUUUUUAAAGAGAUAGAUUAAAUUAUUUUAAAAUACCUUAAUUGUUUUUACUUUAAACAUUACCGGCCUUUCUUUUAUUUUAUUACAAAUUAAUGCUAACAAGAAAAAGUUAGAUCAUAUUCCACAAAAGCAAAAGUGACAAACACAACCAGCUGGAAUCUUUUAUAAAACUACAAAUUAAAAUGGAUUUUUUUUUUAAAAAUUGUUAUAAAUUGGUGGCCCCUACAAUCCUCAAUAAUUGCACCGAUAUUCACAAGUUGGUGGCCCCUACAAUUCUGUUCCGAUAAUUUAACUGUGCAAGUGCUUAAUAAUUGUUUUGUUUUUUUCUGCAUUCCCUUUCAUGCUCUUAAUAAUUGAAGAGCAUACUUUUCAAAUGUGGAGCCGCAGCUAAUGUCGCUAAUUUAAUUUUGGAUUAAAUUAGGGGACCAUUAUAUUGUAGUGUGCACUAAUGAAUAUGUGAGAUAUUCAUAUUUUAUUAAUUUAAAAUACCAUUUAACCUAAAGAUUUAUUUAUGAUAAAUUAAUAAUUAUAUUUUUGAAAUUACUUCAAAUAUUAAAAAAUUAAUAUUACUAAUCUGUUAGAUAGAUUAAAUUAUAUAUAUUAUUUUCUAUUUAUUAAAAAAUUAAAAUUAUUUUUAAUUACUAUUCAAAAAAUAUAAUGAUAAAAAAAAUCUUAACAUCUUUAUUAAAAAUUUAAAAAUUUACAUGAUCAAUUCUCUAAAUAUUUAGGGUAUAUGUGAACCACGGUGGAGAAGCUUUAUUUAAUAUUAUUGAUUUAAAUAAUAUGUCAAUUAAAAAUGUACAGAGAAGGAAAUUUCGGUGGGUAUUUUAGUCUUUUCAGCAAUUAUCAUGAUCAGAUCAGCCUUUAGCCUUGAAACGUCGAUCAGAAAAGUUUUAAAAUGCUUAAUUGUUUUUCACUUUUAAAAAUUAAUGCUAACAAGAAAAAGCUAGGUCAUAUUCCACAAAAUCAAAAGUGACAAAACAACCAGCUGGUUUCUUUUACUAAACUACAAAUUAAAAUAGAUUUUUUCGAUAAAUUAUAAAUUAAAGUGGAUUCUUUUGAAUACAAGUGAGACAGACGAUUAGGCUCUUUUUAUUAAAGGCAAGUAAAAACUAGUCAAGAAUCGAAUAGUCUUUUUCAAAUUCUUGUUUUAUUAUUUUUCAAAACUAGUUUUUGGUAAUUACAAUCGGGUCAUUCAUUAAUCAUUAUUCAAAGUUACUGUUAUCUUCGGGGGCAGUGGGUAAAAGAUAAUUACUAACUGUUUUUCCUUCAAAAGUUACCGGCUCAUGUUUGCAAGUGUGAAUGUGCGAUGCUCUUUUCUUAAAGGCAAUUACAGUGGGGCCCGAAUCAGAGGUGCCUAAAUCUUUUUAAAAUUAAUAAUAAUAUGAGUAAUAAUUAAUAAUUACAGUGGGUCAACUUUUGAAAUUAGAGUCUAGUAUCUCUCUCCCUGUCAUUACUAAAUUUUCUCUUCCACAGCCUACAGCAGCUUCAGUUUAUCAAACUCAAUCAAUUUUCUUUCUUAACAAAAUUCCAAAGAUGUGUAGUAUUUUUCAGAUCACAUGCGAUGGUGCUCUUUUCAAUCGUUGCUUGGAUUGCUUUCUUGGAAAAGCAGCAUACAUACGUAACCUCCAAGAUAAUCUUGUAGCCUUGGAGACUGAACUGGGAAGACUAAUCGCAGCAAAGAACGAUGUGAUGAUGAGGGUUGUCCAUGCUGAACGGCAACAAAUGAGAAGGCUGGACGGAGUGCAAGUGUGGGUUUCGAGGGUGGAUUCUGUUAAAACUGGAGCCGACGAACUUAUCACAGACGGCUCUGAAGAAAUUGGCAAAUUAUGUGUUGGAGGCUACUGUUCCAAGAACUGCAGGUCAAGCUACAAAUUCGGAAAACAAGUGGCUAGAAAGCUACGACAUGUGGAGACUUUAAUCGCCGAGGGAGUUUUUGAGGCGGUGGCUACUGAGGUGGUGCCCGAGAGAGCUCCGGAACCUGUAGCAGAUAAAAGACCCAUUGAGCCAACAAUAGUAGGCUUGCAAUCACAACUUGAACAAGUCUGGAGAUGUCUUGCAGAAGAAUCAGCGGGAAUCAUUGGCUUAUAUGGUAUGGGCGGUGUUGGUAAAACCACACUAUUGACCCGUAUCAACAAUAAAUUUCUUGAGAAUCAAAACAACUUUGAUUGUGUGAUUUGGGUCGUAGUUUCAAAAGACCUGCGGCUUGAAAAAAUUCAAGAAGAUAUUGGGAAGAAGAUAGGUCUGUUUGAUGAUUCAUGGAAGAAUAAAAGUUUUGAAGAGAAAGCUGUGGACAUCCUGCGGAGAUUAGGAGAGAAGAGAUUUGUAUUGUUGUUAGAUGAUAUAUGGGAGCGGGUUGAUUUAACAGAAGUGGGCGUUCCACUUCCCAGCCCACAAAAUACUACAUCAAAAGUCGUAUUCACGACCCGUUUCAUUGAUGUUUGUGGUAGCAUGGAAAGUCACAGGAAGUUUAAAGUGGCAUGCUUAUCAGAAGAGGAUGCUUGGGGGCUGUUUCGAGAAAAAGUACGGCAAGAAACUCUUGAGAGUGAUCAUGAGAUCGUUGAGCUAGCCCAAACUGUGGCCAAAGAGUGUGAUGGUUUGCCACUCGCACUUAUUACUAUUGGUCGAGCUAUGGCCUACAGAAAGAAAGCGGAGCAGUGGAGACGCGCAAUUGAAGCGUUAAGAAGAUCAGCUUCAGAGUUUGCAGGUUUGGGAAAAGAGGUGUAUCCUCUUUUAAAAUUCAGCUAUGAUAGUUUGCAGAAUGAUACGGUUAGAUCUUGUUUCUUGUAUUGUUGUUUAUAUCCUGAAGAUUAUGGCAUUCUUAAACGGGACUUGAUUGACUGUUGGAUUGGUGAGGGAUUUUUGGGGGAAUCUGACAGGUUUGGUGCAGAAAACCGAGGAUAUGACAUUUUGGACACUCUUGUUCGUGCAUGUUUAUUAGAAGAGUUAGAAGAUGAUAAAGUAAAAAUGCAUGACGUUAUUCGUGAUAUGGCUAUAUGGAUAACCUGUGAAAUUGAGAAGGAGAAGAGAAAAUUUUUGGUUUGUGCAGGUGCUGGAUUAAAAGAGGCACCGGAUGUUAAAGGAUGGGAAAAUGUGAGAAGAUUGUCAUUGAUGCAAAACCAAAUUGAAACUCUGUCAGAGAUUCCUACAUGCCCUCAUCUCCUCACUUUAUUUCUUGACUUUAAUGAGAAGUUGGAGAUGAUCGCGGAUGGCUUCUUCCAAUUUAUGCCUUCUCUCAAAGUGUUGAGGAUAUCACACUGUGGGCAAUUAGAAGGUUUUCAAUUACCUAUUGGGAUGUCAGAGUUGGGUUCGUCACUAGAACUUCUUGAUAUUUCAUAUACCAGCAUAAGAGAGUUACCAGAAGAGUUAAAGUUGUUGGUAAAUCUGAAAUGUUUGAAUUUGAGUUGGGCACAUAGGUUAUAUAAAAUUCCACGGCAACUAAUAUCAAAUUCUUCAAGGUUACGUGUGUUGAGAAUGUUCGCUACUGGCUAUGUGUGUCUUCAUGAAGCAUCAGAAGACAGCGUUUUAUUUGGUGGGGGUGAAGUUUUAGUACAGGAAUUGCUCGGUUUGAAAUAUUUAGAGGUAUUGGAGUUGACCUUGGGAAGUUAUCAUGCUCUCCAAAUUCUUUUGAGCUCAAAUAAGUUGAAAAGUUGUAUUCGAUCUCUUUUCCUACAGUUGUUCAGAGAUACAACGUCGAUUAUUGAUGCUACGGCUUUCGCAGAUCUAAACCACCUCAAUGAAUUAUGGAUUUAUAGAGGUAGUGAGUUGGAAGAAUUGAAGAUUGAUUAUACGGAGAUAGUACAAAAAAGGAGGGAACCUUUUGUUUUCCGCAGCCUUCACCAUGUUACCAUAUAUAGUUGCACUAAAUUGAAAGAUUCGACAUUCCUCGUUUUUGCUCCAAACCUCAAGUCUCUUCAGCUACUCGAUUGCUAUGCUAUGGAAGAAAUAAUCAGCGUCGGAAAAAUUGCUGAGACUCCUGAGAUGAUGGGACAUAUAAGCCCUUUUGAAAAUCUC